CCAGAAAAUGUCUUACUGAUUCCAAAUCGGUAAGACGUUUUCCAUAAAUUGGGGCCUUUUUUACCCGUGUUUGUAAAACAUUUUCCCUUAGGAUUUCAUUUUACACCAAUCAAACACUGGAAAAUCCGUAAAAUAUUUUCCAGAAAAUAUUUUCCACCAAUCAAACAGAGCCUUAAUCUCAUAAUUCACAAAAACUUAGACUCUUUCACUCACAUGAAUGAGACCCCUAUUGGAUCCCACCUACCAUUUUCACAUGCUUGUGGGACAUCUAAUUGGGUCCCCAUCGGUUUCACCUAAAGAGGUAUGUAUUUAAUUACUCCUCGAGAUUUUCGCUAUUACUAGAAUUUAAGAUGGGUAAAAAUUUAAUUUUAUAAAAAUUAAGUUUUGUAAUGGUAAUUGUUUAUUAAAAUUUAAACAUCUUAAAUACUUUUUUUUAAUAUUCUUAAUUGUUUGAUGUGAAUCUAGUUUAUAAUUAAUUAUACAUUUAUAAAAAGAAUAAUUAGGUGUAAUAGAAAAAUAGGUAUAUUGUUGUGGUUCAAUCCAUAUAAACAAUGAGAUAGUAAAAGUGGAAAGAAACAAACAUAAAUAUUUUACAUAGAAAACCUUCAAAGAAGGAAAAACCACGGGCAAAGGAGGUAUCGGCUUUUCACUAAACGAAUAAACAAACGAUAGUCCAAUAUGAAAAAAAUAAACCUAAAUGUACAAACUAUACAUUGCCUAAAACCCUGAAUACAAAGCUUAAAAUCUCAAAGAGCAAACUGGUAAACAAAACCCUAAAUCUUAUAGGGCAUUCACAAAAGAGGUACAAAAUACUCUCCAUAAUUACCACAAAACCCUCACCAAAACUCAUAUGCCACUGCAUCUUGUAGCCCUCAAAGAAAAACCCUUGUUGAUUGGCCUCUCAAAACAGGGAUACAAUGACCCUUUAAAUAGGCGUAGAUUUGAGUUCUAAUAAUACUAAAAUAUCUCUGGAAUAAUCAGAGUUUAAUUGGGAGAAGCAAUCCUACUUGAAAUCUCAAACACGGCUGCAUAACUUGGAGAAAUCAUCACGACGUCCUAUGCAAGCUUGUUAUGACGUUGCUGUCACGUUCAUUUGGGGUUUCAUCGCGUCAUUACGACAUCAGCUCUAUUUUACAUUUUCUUCGGUAAAUCGUUGAAUGUCUUUGUAACACCCCAUACCUGGUCCAAACGUAUUCUUUUUUCCUUUGCGUUUUCUUAAAUAUUUUUCAUAUUUCCUUUGCAUUUUUUUCCAAAUUUUUUGUAUUAUUUCGUGAUGGUUUUGAGUUAGAAACACACACUUGAUUUAGAUUCGAUAUAGAUUCAAGAACAAAAACUCCUAAGCCUAAAAAUCAUCAAGAAAACUCAUUGAUUAAUACCGAAUAUUAACACCAAAAUGUGGAUUUUGGUAAAACACAUAUCAACAAAUAAUUCCCAAAGUUAACAUUCAAUUCCUUACCCCAAAUCUUGCAAUUAAUUAACAACUACACCCCAAGGGAACCACGUGCUUCACGAGUAUCACCUAACAAAACCAAAUUCCUCCAAAAUUAACACAACCCUUAGCCAUAGAACCAAGUCCAAUUACUUGUUAAGAUCCAACAACUCAAAACUUACAAAAUUUGGGGUGUUACAGUCUUCUUAAGUGCUUAUAGAGUGUCCAAUAAAUGUGAGGCACACCCCACAUAUAUUAUACUGGCAUUCAUCCAAUUAUUAAAAUAAUAUUUGUUAAUUAAAAAAGUUAUAAAUGAUCAUCUAACUAUUCAAAUUUUUUUUCUUUUUUUGUCCCCAACCAUUAAAUUACUAAUGGAAAUUUGACGUAGUUACUUUUAAAAUUAGCAUAAUAACAAUUUUAACCCUCAACAAUUAUACAUUGUGCCAACUUGUCUUGAUUCUAAAAAAUUUUAUAAUAUCAACAUUUACACAUUUUGUAAUUCGAUCAUUUUUGCAUUUUUACUUUUCUUGUGACCCUUUCUGAUGUUGUUCCUACAUUUGAUUCAAUGGAAAAAUGAAUAACAAGAAACAAAAUGACCCAAAUUUUUAAAAAUAGCCAAUUGAUUCAAUUGCUUGAAAAUAAAAAAUAAAAAAUACUCGCUUUGUUAAUUCAACCCAAGUGUAAGUCUAACAACUUAAAAAAAAUAAUUUGUUUCAUUAAUGGUAGUUAGCUCAAGCGAAAAAAAAUGAAUUAAUAUCAAUGAGAGAUACCAAGUUCUUAGUAAUUUGAAGAAUAAGAAAAGCAAUUUAUUUAAGGAUUGUCCAAUUUAAUAAUAAACAGAUUUUUUUUAAAUAUAUAAUUUUUUUUAUUUCUAAUUUACAAAUUAUGUAUCAAAUGAUAUUUUCGUGUAAAAAAUAUGAUAAAAUUAGGUAAUGUGUAAAGAUUGAGGGCUAAUUUUUUUUUAAAUACUAAAUUGGCACGAUGUGUAAAUGUUGAGGGCUAGAUUUGUUUUUAUGCCAAUUUUAAAAACUGCCAUGUUAUCUUUCCAUUAGCCAUUUAACGGUGGGUGACUAAAAAAGUGAAUAGUUGGGUGACUAUUUUGUAACUUUUCAAAGUUGAAUGACCAAAAAAAAAACUUACUCAUAGUUUGGUAACUACCGAUGUCGUUUACCAUAGAAAAAUAGCGGAAUAAACUAAAUUAACCCUAUAUACGUGUUUAGAAUAUUUUUAGAAUAGCGGAAAUAAGAGAUAUUAAAAAAAUAUUACUAAAAUAAUUUUAUAAAUAUACUAAAUUAUGACACACUCACGAUGUGGGUGAAAGAAAUUAUAUAACAAAUAUAUUUAUUAAAAAUUAAUGUUAUAAGCAAAUGAUGUUUUGGUUGAAAUUAAUGUUAUAAAUAUAUUUGUCCAAGUUCAUUCUUAAUAUAAAUUAAUUUUUAUAAAUUUAUAUAUUUUUAAAAAAUAUUUUUUAUUAGGGUUUGUCACAUGUCAUUAUAUGGGAUUGUUACAUGUUGUCUUUCUAUUGGCUGCCAAUUCUACGUCAACAAAUUUUAAUGGAAUUAUUGUGGAGGUACCAAUAUAUGUGGCGGAAUCCAAAUUGUGGUACUAGGUCCAAAAAUAGUCUAGAUACCUAUUAGGUAUAGGUGGACAAGUUCAAUGGCAAAAUACAUAUUAACCCUGUAUUACUAAAUUGAGUAACACCAAAUUAGUUAGCCACUUUUAAUAAUUACAUUAUAGCACCUCAUGAUAUUAUAUAUAUAUAUACUUUAAAGAAUUGUUAUAAAUAACUAAAUGAAUUUUUAGUUGAAAUGGUGAGAUUAAAUUUUAAAAAACCUGAUGUAUUAGAUUCAAGUCUCGUAUAAAGAGUGAAUUUUUAAAAUGUAUUUCAAUUAAAAGAUAAAAUUUAAAUCAAAGUUUGUUAUUUUGUAAAAAGAAUGAGCUUAUAGUCAAUCUCCAACUAAGUCAAUUUAAACUUAUUUUUGGUGUACAUUACAAGCUUACAAAUCGAGGGAGGGGAUGUAAUAGCCAAAACUCGAAUCCAGAUUUGCUCAUUCAAGUUGUUGGAAGAUAAUAGAUAAUCAGAAGAAGAGAAAACAUUAUCGGAUGAAGCAUUUUCAGUAACUAGUGAUGAAAGAUUUUCAAUCACCGGCAUCGUAGGAUUAACAACAGAGGGUCCCAUAACUUUAAGGCUUGAACAGUUUCGGUCACCAGAAGAUGACUAACUUUAAUAUCAUAUCAAGAUACACACUAAACAUAAACAGGGGUGAAGCCAGGGGGCUGGCAUGGGCCCUAGCCCCUCUAAAAUGUAAAAUUAUAUUUUAGGCCUUUAAAAUUUUUUAAAAAUUUUAAAUUAGUAAAUGUAAAAUUGUAUUUUGGUCUCCCUUGAAAUUAUAAAAAUUUAAUAUAAUCCUUUACAAAUUAUAAAUAUAUAAACUAUAAAAAAUUAAAAUUUCAUCCGGACCCCUAAAAAAUUUUUCUGACUUCGCCCUCAACAUAAAUAAAGAAAAAUAUAUGAUAUUAAAAUAUCAUCCUCGUGCAAAGAUGAUUUCUUUACAAUAGUCUCUAUAGCUAUUUGUACGAGAAUAUGUAACUGUUGUACCAAACUCUUAACUCCUUAGCACAAUAACGAGUAGCAAAUAGUUACAACCGAACCAACUUUGACUAACAACUACUCUUGACUAACUGCUACUAACUAUCCUUAACAGGCGCUGAUGGACGCUGGGUGUUGAGCCAUGAAUUUGCUCAAAUUUGAUGGUAAUUGACAGCAUGUGUUAUGCAAUCUUGAUGUAAAAGAAAAAAAACAAGAGAUUUUAAGUACUCAAUGAUAGAAUUUGAUGGUAAUUGACAGCAUUUGUUAUUGUAUUCAACAUUUUUUUUACUUAAUAUAUAUAUAAAAUCGUUCUCGUGAUUGUUCUGAUUUUUAAGAGGAUAUUCAUUCAUAAAAUUAACUCAGUUUUGAGCCUUUAAAAGAGCAAAUGAUAGAUUUUUAUUUGGGUAACUCUUAUUGGACAUAUUAUGUACGUGUAUAGUGUACCAUAAUAAUAAAUUUCAAGUUUUAAUCUUAUGGGUGUUUUAAAAAAUCUUAUAAAAAAAUAUUAUUUGGUUUUUUUCCAUCUUUAAUUUGUUAACAUGUUUGAGAAUUUUUAAGGGUUGAUAAAUAAAUUUGUGAUUAUAUCUGAUUUUUAAAUAGAGUUAGUGGUAAAAGUUAAAGGAUGGGCUGAAAAAGAACAAUUCGAAAAGUAAUAAGAUUAAAUUUGAGCAAAAUUUGUAGAAAUUGACAAAUACAAGGACUAGCCUUAAAAUAUAACCAUAAUUUUCAUCUUGAAAAAAGUUGCUUUCAUCUUCAAUAAAACCAUCAACUUUGCUUCAUUUUUGCAUGAAUCUUUUCUUCUUAUUCCUUACUCUUUUUUAUACACUAAACAUAUAUAUAAUUUAUUUGUAAGUUUAAUUCACCUAAUAUGUUUUCUUAUUUGUUUUUGCUUCAAUAAGUUUUUUUAAGAGAUUUUGGUUGAUUUUUUUAUUUUAAUAAAUUAUCAUGAGUUUUGAGAAAAUAUUUAAGAAACCUUUUUAAUUCUUACUAUUCAUAAAUUAUAAUUUCAUGAUUUUUAAAUUUUUUUGAGAUUGUAGGAACAUUGUACAAUUAAAAUUUCUAUUAAAAAUAUAUAAAAAUAUAAAAAGAAAAUGUACAGAAUGAAUUUGGAUAAAAUGACGUCUAAAUUCAUUUGAAUCUGGAUAUUCAUUCGUUCAGAUUUAUUUUAGACAUGAAAUAAUUAUAUAUUUUUAAUUUUUUUUAUUAGUGCUUGUCACAUGUCAUAAGAUUGUUACAUGUCAUCAUAUUAUUGGAUGACGUUGCCACAUCAUCACAUUCUCACGAUGUUAUAAUAAAGUUAUUAAAGUACGUGACAUGAUCUAAGUUUAGAGUACCACUUAGAUUUUUUUUAAAAAUACCAAUUAAAUAGAAGUGGUGAAGUUUAAGGGGCAAAGUAUACAUCAACCCAAAUAAAAUUAAAAACGUUCAUUUAUUUAUUCUGACAUAAUUAAAUAAAAUGAUUUAAAGUAUUGAUUUAAUAUAUGAACUUUGAUUUGAUAUAAUUAUACAUAUGAAACUUUGAUUUUGAUUCAACUGUACACAUUUAAAUAAGAUAAAUAUAAUUAUUUUUGUAUGUAAUAUGUAAGUGUAAAAUGAUUCUACAUUGAUAAUCGUGUUAGUGAUUUAUAAAAAUUGAAUCAAAUAAAAAUUUCAUAAAAUCAAAGUUUACGUAUAACAUUAUACAUUGAAUCAAAAUUCAUGUAUAAUUUUAAGAUUUGUCUCCUUAAAUAUUCAGAUGACACAAAUUUAACACUAGUUGAACAUGAUUGAUUUUAUUUUCAUUUGACUGUAAUUGUGUCACUAGAUAACAGUCAAAAAAUUCACGUUUUCACUAUAAUAAUAACAACUAACAAUGUUAUAAAUUUGGAUAUACUGAUAACAAGUAGAAGGAUCAAGCUGUAUCAAAUUAAAAAGGAAAAAAAAUUACAUCUUAAAUUUCAUCAUAGUAGAAGGACUAAAACCAUAAUUAGACCAUUAAACAGAAGUAUAGAAAAAAAAAUUAAAGAGGUGGACAAACAGAAACAGAUUGAAGCGAUAUGAUGUGUUUGGGGGACAAAGAAAAGAGCUGCUUUAUUAUUAUUAUUUUUUUAAAAAUUCAUUUUGGAUUGCCGGCUAAAGAACGCGACAUAUAACUUCCUUCCUUCACUGCUUUUCUCUCUCAUACUCUUAUACGCGCUUUUUGUCAGUACUUUAAUACACGUACCAAUCAGAAAACAAGGAUGCUUGUUAGUGGAAGUGAAUGAAAUAUGAACGAUGUGGGACCCCUUUCGGUUCCAAGGGAGUUUUGAUGAUGAUGGUGGCACGCGUGUUGAUAUGUGAUUUUGUAGGAGUGGGACGACAAGGACAGGAUUCUUUUUAACUUGGCUUAAUUUGAUCUUAGUCCUUCUGUUAUGUUAAAAUUAAGAUUUAAUCCGUAUAAUUUAAUUUGGCAUAAUUUCGUAUCUUUAAUUUUAUAAAUUUUAUUAGUAGAUCUAAAUUAAUAGCACUGUUAGUUAUUGUCAUUAAAAUUAUGACAUGAAAUCUUUUAACUGUUAUUUGUUUAUCAAUCAAGGUUGAGUGAAAACAUAAUUAAUCGUGUUUAACAAAUAAUAAAUUUACAUGUCUAUUGAAUGGUUAAAACUGGUUUAAAAUUUUCACAUUAUCACAUUAACGAUAUCAAUUAACUGUACCAUCAAUUUAGUCAUACUAUUAAUACUGUAAAAAUAGGGAGACUAAAUUAUAUGAAAUUAAAAAAGAGGAAUUAAAACUAUAAUUUCAACAUAGUAGAGGGAAUAAAACUAAAAUUGUGUUUUAAAUAAAAAAAUUAGCUAACAUUUUGCUAAUAUUUUAAUUUAAAAAUAUUUGUUUUAUAAAGAGAAGGGAUCGAGAGUGUUCAGGAAACUCGGAGAUUUAACGUGAACCAUGAUUUCUUUUCCAAAAAAAGAAAACCUUAAUUCAUGUAUAUACAUGGUUCAAGAGUUGGACUACUUGUUAAAGUUGAAAGUAAUGCUCGAAAUUUAAGAGGAUUUGGACGAAAAUAUUAAACGCAAAACAUGACAUUGGACAAAAAAAAGUUCAUUUAAAAUAUUCCUCACCUGUCUCGAUGAACAGUAUGGAUGGAAGGUGCUAUUGGAUAUUUUUAGACUCGAACCCAAAAUUUAUUCAUAAAAACGACCAUUUCACAACGUAUUAAUUUUAUUUAAAUCACCACUUGUAUCGUACGUUAAGACAGGUGAAGGGUGUUACACAUUCAAAGGCCCAAUCUCAACCCAACCAGAUAUUUUUUUUAAGUAUGUAAUAUAUUAUUUUAUUAAAAUUUUAAUAAAUGAAUAUAUAUAAAAUUAUUACAUGUUAAAUUAAAAAUAAUAUAAACUUAUUCUUUUGAAUUUAAAAAUAAUAUGUUCAGGCUUAAAACAAUUUAGGUUAACCAUUCAUAAAUAUCGAUAAAUUUAGUCAAAUUUUGAGGUUUAUAUUUUGAAUCUAUAUGAGCUUAAGCACACAUAAACCAUAUUCGGUACUUUUAAUAUAAAAGAGUAAUAUUAUAUUAAAUAAUAGUUUAAUUUCAAAAUAAUGGAUGACUAACAAUCUAAUUGAAUAUAACGAAAAUAUGUUAAUAUCGCACAUAAACCCAAAUCGACCAAUAAACUUCGUAGUUAUCUCAAAUAUUUUAGUUUAUGAUGUGCUCCACCUCAUUGCCACGUCAUCAUCAUAAAGUCAUGUAAUGGCCCAAAUUUGAGGUUAUCGGAACAGUGGUUUCGGAACCACAAAUCCGAUGAGAAAAAUUUUAUUUUUCUUAUAUUUUUAUGGUCUACAAUUUCACAAAAUGAUUUUUUGAAAAUUUCGUUCAAAAAUUUCGACGUUUGGGCACUCAAUUUAGUCAAAAGGACUAAAUUGUAAAAAGUGCAAAAGUUGAGUUCUACAUGUUAGAGGUGUCCAAUUGUUAUGAAACUUUAAAUUGGAGGUCCUUAUAUGGUAAUUAUACCAUUGGUAACUUGGUAGACAAAAAUGGACAUGAGAUAAGUGAAAUAGAAAAUUUUUAAGUUAGGGGCAAUUUGGUAAUCUAGUAAUUAAAAUGAAUUAAAAGGGAAAAAGAUGGCAAAAAUCAUCAUCUUCUUCAUAUGAACGAAAUCAGCAAGGGGGGAAGUCAUAGUUAGGGUUUUCAAGCUUCCAAGCUCCAUAGUAAGUGAUCUCAAGCCCCGUUUUUAAUGUUUUUUACGUUUUUGAGAUCCCGGUAGCUUAAUUUAGCUUAUUCUAGCAAUAAUUUAACCUAGGGUUUAUAUUUGGAAAAAUACCCAUAGGUGAAAAGUGUUUAUUUUGAUGUUUUAUGAUAGAAUAUGAAGCUAGAAAUUAUGUUAAACAACUUUUGCUAAGCGAUUUUAAGUGAAAACGAGUAAAACGACAUAAUCGGUAAAAAUACCUAAUGUUCAUAAGUACAUGUUAGAGUGGGAAUUUGAUGUUGCCAUAGAAGGGAAAAAUGUUCAGAAUGUUAUAAAACAUAAGAAUAAGAGAUGAAGUUUAAUUUCCGAGCCUUGGGGCAAAAAUGUAAUUAUGUAAAAGUUUAGGAGCAAAAUUGUAAUUUUGAAAAAGUUAGAGUCGAGGGCUGUUUUGAUGAAUGUGAUUAUUAAAUAAGUUAAAUUUACUAUUUUAGAUCAAGAAGUACGAAACUCGAGGUUAGACAAAGGGAAGAAUAAAGUUGAAGACUAAGUUGGUGAAUUUGGCUAUAAUUGGUACCGAGGUAAGUUUACGGUAAAUAAAUGCAAUAUUUCAAUAUUUAUUAUUAAUGCUGUUAAUUUCCAGAAAUUAUGAAUUUAUUUUAUGAAUUUAUUUGAUGAUGAUCCAAGCAUGAAAUGAUAGAGAAUUAAAAUUUAAAAGUCCCGUUGAUACAUAAGGAUGGUACUGGAUACGAAUGUCAUGACAUUUGGGUAAAGAGAUCCCAUGUAAGACCAUGUCUGGGACAUGGCAUUGGCAUCCUUAAGAUCAUGAGAGGUCCCCUGUAAGACCAUGUCUGGGACAUGGCAUGGGCACCGAGACGAGAGGUCCCAUGUAAGACCAUGUCUAGGACAUGUCGUUGGCACCGAGAUGAGAGGUCCCCUAUAAGACCAUGUCUGGGACAUGGCAUGGGCACCAUCACGAGAACAUCCCAUGUAAGACCAUGUCUGGGACAUGGCUUUGGCAUGUUAUUAUCAGAAGAGACCCGAGUAUCCUUAUUAUUCCAAUGUAGCUCAACGGGCUUGUAAACGAAUCAUGUUCAUGAAAGUUCAGUUUAAAGCAUAAAUGGCAAGCUCAGGUAAGUUGUAAGACUUAAGAACUUAUUAUACUAUCAAUUGAUGUUCAACGAUGCAGCAAGGAUUGAGUAAGUUAUGCACACAAGUAUUCUAAGUAAACAAGUAAGAGAACUAGUAUGAGAUUAACUAAAGAGUAAACUAGAGAUAUAGACAUUGAGUUUAAUUAUUUAAGUUAAAUAUUGUUAUUUAUUUGCUAGUAAACUUACUAAGCUUUAUGCUUACUUCUUUUAUUUCUCUUUCUCUUAUAGUAUUGCAAAGCUACUUCAAGGAUCCUAAAGAAGUUGGAGAUCGUCCACACUAUCAACUACAACUGCUCGGUAUUUUAUAUCGAAACACGUUUGAGUUAUGGCAUGUAUAGGGAUUUAGUUAUUUUGUAUGUUUGUAAUGAUGAUUUUGCUAAUGAGUGAUGUGUAAGUAUUUGAUGAUGUAUGGUUAUUAAAAUGAUUAAGGAUGAAGGUGUUUGUUGUUAUGAAAGAUUAGGUGAUAAAUUAUGCAUGGAAAUCAUGAAAGGAUAAAAUUUUGCAAAGAAACAGAAUUCAGGCAGCACAGUGACGUGAAUUUGAAAAAUCACCCAAGAUAGUAUAAAAUGAAUUAGAGGGUGAAUGAUAUAUGGAAUUAAAGCUUGUUGAGUCUAUUUUCAUGGAAAAAUAACGGUGUAGAAAAAGGAUAUUUAUAUUUUAAGAUAUGUGAAUUUUAGUAAGAUAGGGUCAGAACUGUUUUUGGAGUCCCCUGUUCCGAGUUUAGAAAAUAAUUACAAAUUGUACAAAAAUGGUUAUGAGUUGAAAUUUACAUGCUUAGAUUUCUUAAUGAGUCUAUUUUCUGUAGAAACAAGUAAGAACUUCAUAUGAAAAUCCUACAGUGAGAAAACUUAUUUUUAGUGACUAGAGGUCAGGGCAGUCAGGUGGUGAAAAAGGGGAGACUUUAACUAAUAAAAUGUACUAAUUUGCUGAACCAAAAAUUCUAAAAAUUUUAUGGUGAGUAGAUAUAUGAGUCUAGUUUCAGGGAAAAUUUACGGAAUUAAAUUUUGAGUUCUGUAGCUCAAGUUAUAAUUAAUUUAGUAACUGCUGCGCGAUUGGACAGAUUUGCUGCGAAUAAUGAAAUAAAUUUUCAAACCUAGUUUUUAUGCUCCGAAUUGGUAAGAUAAGCUAAGUAAUGCCUCGUGCUCGACUCCGGAAACGGUCUCGGGUAAGGGGUGUUACAAGUCAUGUAACUAAACCAAUAUAUAUAUGUGGUCAAUUAAGUCUUAGUUCGUCUAGCAUCGACAUUAUUGUUAAUAUAGGACAAUAUGGAUUUGAGCAUAUUGAAACAUGUUUAUACUCUUAUUUAAGGGUUAAAUAUAUAUAAAUAUAUAUUAAGUUUUUAAGUACAAACUAAAAAAAAUAUUUUUAUUUGCUUCAAAACAAAAUAAAACAAUUAAAUUAAUUUUGGGUUGGGUCAGAUCUCUUAUUAAAUUUCAGGUUCGAGUUCGAGACAAAUUUUUUUUUUAAGAGUUGGAGUCAAGUCAAGGUCGAGGUAAAUUCAUCAAGGUUCGGGUUGGAGUCGGGUUGGGCAAAAAUCCGCCCUGUCUUGCCCGUUGCCAUCCCUAAAUAACCCAAAUUAAGGAAACUCACAUUAUAGGAUUUUAAUAACAUGUUAUUUUAAUAACAAAUAAACAAAGUAACAUGUGAAUAAAACAAAGUAACAAAUAACAAACUACUAAUGUUGAAUUUGAAUGAUAUAAGAAGAGCUUUGACUGCAUCUAUUUAUAGGUAAAAAAAAAUCAUAUUCUAAUCAAUGUUAAAUAGAAGCAGUAUAGUAAGGUUGUGAUAUCAAAUAGAAGAAUUGUACUUCUAUACGAAUUCCACAUGUGCAGCUUGUAUCGUAUCCACAGAUCCCCUAUUUUACCACUAUUUUAUCUGCUAAUGAUGAAUAAUGUAUUAACAAAUUAAAACAAAUCUAAUAGAAGCAUACCUCCACAAUUUUUCAUUAUAAUCUUAAUCAUGUUAGGUUGGAGUCUCAACUUAUGUAAAAAUGUGUAGUUUUAAUUAAUUAAUUGAUUUAAUUAUUAACUUAAUAUUUCAAUUAAAUAUUUAUAAUAAUCGAAAAAAAUAGUCAAAUUUCAUGGUAGUCUUAAUCAUUGCUUGAAGAAAUAAAGGAUGAAUUGCAUUGAGGAAGUAUAAUAACUAACCUUUACACCUUCAUUUAAAAUAUUUGAAAAAAAAAUCUAAAAUGAUAAAUAGAUUACAAAUUAAUGCGUGGUUUUGUACCCACCACUGUAAUAUAGAAAGUGAAUUAAAAACUUAAUUUAAACUAAAUAGGAUUAAUUCACUUUAAUGAACUUUUUACUAUAAUUAGGAUGUGAGUGAAAAAAUCUAUAAAAAAAAGUUGAUAGUAAAAUUGAGAAGUUGAAUAUUACGGUUUAAAUAUGAUUGUAUGUAUGUAUUUUUUUUUUAGAUUUUAUAUAAAAGUAUAAACAAACGAAAAUAUCCUCUAAAUGAUAUUUUUUUUGUUUUGUAAAAAUAAUGAAGUUUUGGUAAUUUUACAACUAAGUUUUCUAUUGGAUGACACUAAAUUAAAAAUGAUAAAAAAUUAUUAUUUUUCAUUUGCAAAUCAACUACAAACAAAAUAUUUCAUUUGUAGAACUAUUGAGGUUGAAAAAGUUCUCGGACCACAACAAUGAGAGCAUUGUUUCUCAAGUGUGAAGGGAUAUUGGUGAGCCAAGGCGAAAUGUUUUCAAAGAUGACCUUAGAUGGCAACAACGUUCCAGAUGAUUCUGGAUGAGGUGUCAGGACGACGUGUGAACUUUAAGAGAUGAUCUCGAGAUGGUUACAAAUGGGAUGAGGAGCUAUGGGAGAGCUUCAAGAUGAUUCGAUGGGUGAUCUUGUUGCUAAGGUCCUUCCUGAGGUAGUGAAUCAUCAGAGAUAGCCUUGGAGAUGAUUGAGUGAGAUGAUUCUGAUGUGACUUAGCCUCCCGACAGAGUAGAUCACUAAGUUAGUCCUUGAUGAGAUCAUGAAAGAUUUCCAUGAUCUCAUAGGAGAUGAUCAAUUGAGAUGACCAUAGGAGAUAAUCAAGUGAGAUGAUCCUGACGAGGUUUGGCCCUUUGGUGUAUUAUUUAUUAUGUCAAAUACAGAAAAAAAGAAAGAGAUAUGCGAUAGGAUUAUAUAAUAAAUAUUGUUUAUUUAGUUUCCAUUUUCCAAGAGAGCUUGGAAAGUAAAAAAAGAAGGUUUGAAUGUAAUUUGUCCAAGUUCAAACUUUUUUAAAAAAUAUUUAUUAUAUAUGGUUGAAUCGGCUUACAACCUAUUGAAUAAGCGGACAAAAAAUUACUGAUUUGGUCGAUUUAACUAAUAGUUUGAUCUUGAAAACCAUGCCCAACAUAGCAAAUCAACUAACUUGUCCUCUAGAUAUGAUCUCAACAUGGCUAGGCUUCCCUUGGGGUAGCAAAUCCACUAAGCUAGCCUAUGGAGAUUAUCUCAACGUGGCUAGACUUUUCCCAGCAUAGAGGAUCAACUAACUUGGCUUCUAAUGAUGAUGUCAACGUGGCUAGGCUUCUCCCAGCGUAGCGGAUCGACUAAGUUAGACUCUCGGGAGAUGAUCAGGUUGAUCUCAGACUAUGGAGACUUCAAGGACGUCUGUAGAGAAAGGGAUAAUGUUAGCGGGCACCAGAGGACUUCCGAGGCAUACUCCAACUCAACUCAAUGAUCAGGUAUAACUUAAUGCAAGAAAAGAAGUUUUGAAAAAGAGGGGUAGAAGAUGCUUUUCAAUUGCUAUGUAGUGAAGUAUGACUGGUCUUUCUGUGAAUGGCAGUGAAUCCUUCCAUUUAUAGCCAAUGGUGUAGUAACUUGGUGCCAUGUGACGUUUCAUCAUUAGCUUGGUGUUGAGGUAUCUUUCUGAGGUGCAUUGAACCUUUGUCAAGUGGUUUUGCAAGUGGGAACCAGGUCUUAGAGGGUCUUCCGUUUGGGGCCUUGCCUUGGGCCUCGCCCAAGGCUUGUCUUGGUGAGCUUUCGUUGGAUUAGCCAUGUUGGGUGCUUUCGAGAUCAUCUUGAGGGUUUUGGUUGUCCGUUACCUUCUGUUAUCAACUUUUAUUUUCAUCCCAACAGGAACCAUAAAAUAUUUAAAGAUAUCAACUUUGUUAAAUAGUAGAUGAAAUUUUUUAAAUUGUAAAUGUUAAUUAUGUUAAAAUUUUACUUUAUUUGAUUUUUUUAAAAAAUACUUGGAUUAAAUUAAUUCAGUUAAUUGUAAAGGGACUAAUUUGAUAAAGAUCUUAUAAUAGAGGAACAUGUCAAGUAAUUUCAACCAUGUAUAUUAUAUUUUAAUUUUGAUUGAGUUGAUCCAAUCACCAAUUCAAUUAAUAUAUGACUAAAAAAUCUUUCAUUUUUAAAAAGUUACAAAAUUUAAUAUAAGAGCGAUUUUAUUUUAUUUUUUUAUAUUUUUAUAUAAAAUUAAUAAAAAAAAUGUUUAAACCCAAUAUAGGAUUCGACAUGAAACUCCAAUAUUUUCAAGGAAUUAAAUUUUCCAUUUAAACUAAAAUUUCAUUUGAUUUUAACAUCAAAAUUUUAAAUAAAAUAUAGUUUUUGUGUAUUUUUUUUUCACACUGUACAUGUCAUAAUAUAGUAUAUCUAUACUAUAAUAAAAAUCCUAAUUGAGUUAAUGUUAUAAAUUAAUUGGGUACUAACUUAGUUAAAAAUGACUAAAUUACCUUUUUUAAACAAAUAAAAAUAUAAUUAUAGGUGCAUUUAUGUCUUUUAAUAAUUUAUACAAAAAUUUUAAAAGAAAUAUUUUAAAAUAAAUUAUCAAAGUUUGAACUUGAAAUACUCCACGAGGUGUUAUGUAUUAUUUAUUUAUACUAUAAUUAAGCUCUUGAUUGAAUUGGUGUCAAGCCAACAAGAUACCAAUUCAGUUAGGAAAUGAUUAAAGGAUACAUCAUUUUUUACAAAAUGAUAAAUGUAACUACGAGGGCGUUCUAUUUUUUUUAUAUAUUAAAUAAAACAAAAAAUAAUUAUCCAUACAUGAUAGGAUUUAAACAUGAGGAUCAUAGAAUUCAAAGCUUUAAUCGUACCAUUUUGAUUUUCGACUAAAACCAUAUUUGGUUUUUAAUAUAAAUUUCUUAUAGAUAUUUUAUAUAUAUAUACAUGAUGGUAUUAAAAGCAUGCAUGAACCUUGAAUUUAACAUCUUUUAACUCUUAACCAACCUUUAUUUUUUUUCUUACAUAAAUGUUCAUAUCUUUCACUCAAAUUUGGAUUAUAUUGUGACACAUUAUACUUUUAAAGCCUAAAAUGCAACCCCAUUUCCUCAAAAUUGGACCAUAUUGUGGCACAUUAUGCUUUUGAAGUCUAAAAUGCAACCCCAUCUCCUCAAGAUUGGACCAUGAUGGCCUUGAAUUUUGAGAGAAGCAAGACAAAGGAGUCACCAAUAGAAGUUGAGUUUCAAUUAACAAUUAAGCAGCUACCUUUCCAACUUAUAAGAGUCGAGAUAUGUUAAUUAUUAUUUUUUACACUAAAAAUUUAAAAGUUAAAAUAUGCUCCAAAUUCUUAUAUUCUCUGUAUAUUUGAAAAUUAAUCUCCAUAUCUUUGUUUUCAAAAUUUUAGUCCUUUUAUUUUUCAGAUUUAAAAUUCAAGUCCAGUUAUUAGAACCAUUAAAAUUCAUAUGUUAGAUUCACUAUUAUGACAUAUUGAUAUUGCAAAAAAAAAAACAAAAAAAAAACUAAUUAACUUAAUAGCCAUGUCAUUGUACUACUAAGAUUUAAUAGAGAAUUUUAAUGAUGUUUACAAUAUUUAAAAUAUUCACGCUAAUAUUUUAAUCAAAAUAAAGUAUUUAGGUUAACUAAAGACAUUAUAAAAAGUUGAUAUACCAAAUUAUGUUAAAAAUUAAAGCAUAGAGGUAAAACUUUAAAUUUGAUCAUAAUAUAGGGAUCAAAACUAAAAUUUGACCAUUGCUAUAAAAUCUUAAAAAUAAAAAUAAAAAGAAUGUGUAUUUAUACCAUGAUAUUAUAAUAGUUGAAGUUUUGGAUUAUGCCAAAAAUUAAAAUAUAAAUUUCAAUUUUAUACAUAACAUAAGGACCAAAAUUAAAAUAUGGGUUAAAAUUGCCUUUGGUUUGUUGGAAAAUUACCAACACAAAGAUGGAAAAGCUAAUAAAGAAUCUUGCAUUAAUAAACAUCCCCAAAUUGAAGCAAUUAUUACAAAGUUCUUAGUGACUAGAAAUUUUUGAGUUAUUUAAGAAAGGCAAAAUUUACUAACAAUUCCUUACUUGAAAAGCUAAUUGAAAUAUCAGAUUUUGGAGGAACAUAUCAAAAAUAUUCACCACAAGUUGCUUCUAUUUCAGUCCCUAUAAGCAUCUUCCUCCAUACCCUGCAUUUCUAAAUAAUGCUUGCUUUAUAUCUUCACAACUUAUUAAUGUUCUCUGUUCCAAAUCCUGCAAUGUUAACCAAAAAAAGGUAAUUAAGAUUGCAAAUUUAAAAGUUAUGGAACAAAAAUGGUAAAAGUACUAUGGAAGACCUUGUAUUAGGAGUUAGAUCACAUUUUACUCUUUAUAUUAAAAAAAUAUACUAUUAGUCAUUGGACGUUAAAUCGAAGAGUAAACUAAUCAUUUUCUUAAAAAAUCUAUCCAUUAAUAUGGUUGAAAAUCCUCAAAAAAUAUUUUAUAAUUAUUUUAAAAUCACAUCUAAAAUGAAACAAGACAAACACUAGAAAUAAGUAGAAUUUUUAACAGAAUGACUAAGUUACUCUUUGAUUUAAUCAUUUGCACUAAUUUACCUAAUUUGUGAGUUGAUGAACAAACUGCAUUAAUCCUUGUAUUAAUGAUCAAAUUGCAUUUUUCUCUAUCUACUUAAAAUAAUGAGCAAGUUAAUCCAUGUAUGUUAGAUUAAAGAGUAAACUGAUUUUUUUAAAAAUGGCAUAAAUGUAAAUAAUGGACUAUCAUUUGUCAAAAUUCAUUUGACAUAGGGUUUUAAAUAGUGCUUCACAGUAAAAAAAAAUAGAUAGAAUUUUUAAUAAAAGGAUCUGUUUAUAUUUUAAUAUGAUGUACAAAGAUUAAUUUAUCUAAUUUUUAGUUAGAUAAUAAAAUAUAAAUCUUACUACUAAUACAAUUACCUACAUGAUAUUUUUACCGGAGAGAAAUAGUAAUAAAAUUUAUUUCCUUUUACCUGAGAACAAGAUGCUUGCAAUGCAAAAUCAUUGAAACAGCUAAUAACACACUGUUGAAUCUCAAGGCCUAAUGCUUCCAGUGUUGUCACUGUGGAUAACAACAACCCUGGUUUCCCACUGCAACAAAUCUCAAUCCUUGUCUCCCCUUCUCUUCUUUCCACCUCAAACUGCACCCAAAACAUGUUCAUCACUUCAUUUCAAGAUUUGGGUAUUAGAGAAAAUGGUGCAUUUUUAACCAAAAAAAUAAAAUAAAAAGAGCCAAUUACCUUUGGUGUAUUUCUCACAAAGAUCUCAUUUGAUUUCCCACCCUUGAAAAUGUGAGCCAUGUUUAACUCAUUUGAAUCUGUUUCAAUCUCUUGCUGCAAACUUUUAAUCCUCUCCAAUAGCUCCUUUGUAUAAUCUAUAGUAUCUCCAAGUAUAGAUGUUCUAUCCAUCUAUUAAGAAAAAACCCAAAUUAGUCCGAGAAUUUAUUCACACAUUUAUACAGGACGGGACUCGAAUUCUUUCACCUUGCUGAUCUUGGGAACAAUUGAUCUUAACAUGGAAAGGCGAUCAUUUAGUCUCUUUCUUCUCCUUCUUUCAGCCAUUAGAUUCUUUGAAGGUUGUUGUCCUUCCAUCUUCUUACCUCGGUUCUUCCUGUCUAAACAAGCAGCUGCCUCAUUGUUGAAAACUGGUGCUUCUGGUGAUUGAAAUGGCUCAGCUUUGCAAGGGACUUGAACAUCUAGCUUGUUAAGUUCAUCAGCAAGGAAACCAGAUUCUUCUUCUUCCAACAUAUUUGGAAAUGGAGGUGGUGUAUCAAAGGUGUUGUUUGAUGAAUCUGUGAGUUGUGGUGCUGAGAAUUCAUCGCCAAACGGGCAGUAAACUCCAUUGAAGUAACCCAAGUCUUGUUCCAAAGGCAAAGCUGUUGAGAAUUCAUGGCAGAAAGUAGUUGGAAACAAACUAGUUGAAAGGUUCAUAUCAUCAAAGCAAUCAAAGUUCCAUCCAUUAGAGAAAACUUCAUUCAUUUGUGUUGGAACUGUGUCCCAAUUUUCUCUUCUUAGAGCUAAUAAUUCCUCUAAGAAACUUUCUUCAUUGAUCUCCAUUUUUGCUUUUUCUCUCACUUUGGGAAUCGUGUCUAUUAUUAGGAGAUGCCUUGAGAAAAAGAAAGUCUCAACAAGUUGAGGAUUUUAUAGCUACAUAGAUUGAAAGUGGGGGAGUAUGAUAUAUCCAAUUUAUAUGAUUAUAGUAUGAUAUUUGUUGUAUUUAUUAGCCUAAGAGUGAAAUGGAAUCUGCCUUUUCCUUUCUUUGUAUGGGGUGAUUUCAUGUCUUUUUCACCGAAAUCUCUCCAAUAAUAAUGAUAUUAAAACCUAAUAUUUAAUUGGUAAUCCAUCUGAAACUUUGACCACAUUGUAUACAUGUAUCCGUCAGAAGUGAACAGCACCUUUCAAGUUCUUUCUACACGUGGGUUACCAUGUCAACAUUAUUAUAUAUAAUAUUAUUAAUCUACAAAUAAAUUUUUAAUAAUAUUAAUAAUUAUUUAAAUUAUAACAUAACAUUAAUAAUAAUAAAACCCAAUUAUAUGAAAUUAAAGUAUAAAUACUAAAGCGAAAAAAAGAAUGAUUAGUGGGGUCCCAUUUCCUUUGCCUCAAGAAAUUUGGCUUAAUCCACAAAUUCAAAGUUAGUUGUUAUGGCGUGUUUUGUUUCUUCUCAUCACUAAUUUUGGUAUUAUCUGCCCCAUUGGUUCUUUAUUAUAACAUAAUUAGCUAUAAAUCUGCCAUGUUUCUUGUUUUAUAAAAAAGGAAUGGGGACGUCUAUCCCAUUCUCAUCUCACCUGGUUUAACAAAUAUGAUAAGAAAGCUGAGGCCAAUAUAUAAACUGCAAGUGAACUGUUUGUUAAAGGGAUUGUUUUGGCUGAUGCAUAUGACUUUUAAUCAGUGCAUGAAUAAUAUGUAGACUCCACUAGUCAAUAGUGAUCUAUAGUCAUUAAUUAACUAUGUCUAGUGUUUAUAUUAGGCUGAUCUGGUUCACAAGGCUUGGCAUUUAUAUGCUUGUCUCCUCCUCUCCUCCUUUUCCAUUUCAUUUCCUGUCUUUUUGCCUCCUUAAUUUAGUCAACAGUUCCAUUUGUUUUUAAUAUAAUUUAACUUAACAUUUAAUCCAAUUUUUGUGGUUGUUUGUUGUGGAAGGGAGAUCAAUUUUGUUUGGAGAAGUCUGCAAACUGUUGUUUAUUGAGAUUUGUCUUCCAACUUUGUGAGUGCUUACAGAGGCGUCUUGACGAGGUGACAAGUUACAAAGUAAGAGUGCCUUGUCGAAAGCCUAAUAAGGUGAACCAUGCACAACACUAUAGGGCAUAGCUUCGAGUCCAACCAUGCAAAAUGCACAUGGUUUGCCUUAUUAGGCACCCGAUGAGGCGCUCCUACUCUAUGAAACUGUUGUGUUUCAAGUUACCUCUUCAAGCACUCAUAGAGCCAAGAAACAAAAAUCCCUCGCUGAGGACAAUAUUGACCUUUUGAGGGAUUCACUGACUCCUAUCGGGCGAUACUUCAUUGACUUUUUCUGAUAGAGUGUACUUCCCCUCUAUAUUUUAAAAAAAUUGAUAUCCGAUAAAUUUGAAGUUAAAAAAAGUGUAUCAUUAGUCAAUUAGGAAUAUAUUAUCUCUCUAGAAUUGAGAGCGUCUCUCUAUAGAGUUUUUUUUCUCAUUGUGAGAAGCAGUUAGAAGGUUGUUUUUUUUGUAUUGGGUAAUUCUAUUCUGAUUGCUUAGAGUUUUUUGCUUGAGUUUUAGGGUUAUUUCAGAGAUAAGAUAGGGGUGAAUGUGUAAGUUUUUUUUUAGGAUUUUUGUUUCACUAUUUAUUCAUUGUGUGGUUGAGUCAAGUUUGGUUUUUGAAUUUCUUUUUUGAGUCUUUUUCUUUUUCUUUUUCAAGUUCUAUUUUGAUAUUUUCUUGGAAUUAUUGUUUUUUAGAUCUACUAUUGACAAAGGGGAUAGAAAGGGAGCACUUUACUAUCCUCUAUCAAUUUGGGAAUCAAAUUAAAUCUUGAGGGAGGGAAUAGUUGUGGGAAUCGAAUUGGAACUAUUGGAUAAGGUGAUGUAGGAACUUGAUUUUUCAAAGGUAAGCAUAUGGAUUCAAAUCCAUAAUUUACCUUUAAAAACAUUAAUUGUGUAUAAUGUUGUUUUGAUUGGGGUAAGUAGGGAUUUGGUUAGGAUUGAUGGUGAUAUGUGGGGGGAAGGAUUGGGUAGAAAUUUUCUUAGAAUUCAAGUAGAUUUAAAUGUGAAUGAACCUCUAAUUCUAGGUUUCAAGUUCUCAGGAAGGGGAAUAAAAUGGUAUAGGUUUUGUAACACCCGUAACCCGUCUCCGUCACUGUAUUAGGGAUACCCGUCACCAGGCUGUGUGACUUUUGCUUUUCAAAUUUUGCAACUUUUUCUUAAACUUUCUGUUUUGUUUCAAAUUAGUCCCGAAUUACUUCUAAACUAUUUUUAGGGCCUUGAAGGCUCAAUUUAUGAAUAAAGUGCAUGUGAAUGAAUGAUUUAUCAUAUGUUUAAUUUAUUUAAAUAUUAUAAUGUUAAAUGUUUUUUAUUGUACGGUAAUGCUCUGUAACCUUAAUUCGACGAUAGAGACGAGUUAAAGGUGUUACAUUUAGUAGUAUCAGAGCUACGAUUUAUCUCAAUAUUUCACAUGUUCACAUGUUGUUAGUGUAGUAAGUAGAUACAUGGCCAAACCCGAAAAAUUACACUAGCAAGCUAUUAAGUGGAUUCUAAGAUAUUUGAGGGGGACAUCUAACACUUGUUUAGAACUUGAAAGAUGUUCAGAAAGUCUAGUCGGCUAUGUAGAUUAGGAUUAUGCCGGAGACUUAGACAAAAUGAGAUCUCUAACAAGUUAUUUCUUCACUUUUGUUAAUUGCACGAUUAGCUGGAAAGCCACCCUUUAGGCCAUUGUGACAUUAUUAACUACAGAGACAGAAUAUAUGGCUAUCACAAAAGGUUGUGAAAGAGGCCAUUUGGUUGAGAGGUCUAUUUAGGGAGCUGGUUGAUAAAAAUGACAAGACUAUUGCAUAUUGCGAUAGUUAAAGUACCAUCAAUCUCACUAAAGAUCAAAUGAAUCACGAAAGAAUAAAGCACAUAGACAUUCGAUAUCACUUUGUUCAGGAAGUGAUCGCUCAAGGAGAUGUUCAGAUGCACAAAAACGGCAUAGAAAACAACCUAACAGACAUGAUGACAAAAAGUCUUCCAAUUUCCAAGUUUAGGCAUUGCUUAGACUUGGUAAGCAUUCGAAAGAGAUGAGUUAGACCCCUGACGGGGCUCGACAAAGAAGGUGUUUUAGAAAUACGAGUCAAGGUAGAAAUAUGUGGAGUGUGCCUCGUAUUUGUGAUGAAACAGACAGUGGCGUCGUAACGAGAAAGAGUUGACGUCACAAUGACACGUCAACGACAUCUCGAUGAGAAAAGUCGCCUUGUCCAUGAUGACAUGAAGAAUGACAUCCUGACGAGGCAAUAUGCUAUGUCACAAUGUGUACUCAACUUAAUCGGGCUUCUUCUCAUCGUUAAGUACUGCUAUCUUUUCCUAAUCAAACUCUAAUCACUCUGGGAUAUUUCUAAUCAAAUUAGUCAUGAAUUUUAGUCUAUAAAUAGGCUUUUAGCAAUCCUCGAGGAUUUGAUUGAAAUUAAGAGAGAGUUUGUGGGAAUUUCAAGAAAACAUUGUAUUUUAGGUUCUGGGUUUGUUUAUUUCUCCAUCUUGUACUCUCUUUUUAGUUUUUUUCUAUUUUAGUGAAGCUUUUCUUUGCUCGUGGUUUUUUAUACUCUUCGAAAGGGUUUUUCAACGAAAAUAUUUAUGUUAGACUUUUAUUGUUUUUCGUUCUUAUUCGUUGCAUAAUUUGGGUUUAACCCAACAUGUUGUCUGUAGUUUGUAAAAAUUGAAUCAAAUUAAAAUUUUUUGGAUAAAAUUGCACAAAAUCAAAAUUCAUCUAUGACAUUGCACAUUGGACCAAAGUUUAUAUAUAAAUUUGAUAUUUAUUCCUUUUAAAGUAAAAUGAUUGAUUAAUUUCAAAAUUGGUUUAUAAAAUUUCUUAAAAAUUAAUAUUUAAUAAAUUUAAAAAUUAAAAUCAAGCUCCUCCAUUAAGAAAAGGGUUAUUAACAUUUCUAUUUUGGUCACCUAAUUAUGAAAGUUUUCAAUUUAGUUAUUAACGUUUUAGAUAAUUUUUAUUUAGGUCACUCACGUUUUAGAUCAUUUCCAUUUCGGUUGUCGAAACCAUUUUUAAAUCGAAUUUUGGAAAAUGAGAAUCGACUUUAAGAAAAACGAAAAUGGGAGUCGCCACCAAUCUUUUUAGGUAUGAUUGGAUCACCUUUAAAAUAUUUUGUUUUAAAAUCAUUAGUUUUGGUCUACGAAAUCAGAAGAUGGGUUCGGGAGCCGGUUACGUACGAGGAAGGGUUAGCACCCUCGUAACGCCCAAAAAUUGGUACCUAAUUGAUUAUCAAGUGUCUUUAAUGUCAGAAAUUUAAAAUUUUUAAGAUGUAAUCCUCUUUAAAAUAUUUUUAUUUUUUGUAAAUUGGAGUUCACCCGUAUCAAAGUAUUGACACUAAGUUAGCUUUUUAGAAAUCCCUAUCUCGAAACAACAAAACGUUACAUCCAGUAAGUUAGGACAUAUUGCUUUGCAAUUCCAAGACAGUUGCUCACAUUUUGAAAAACCUUGAAAAACUUAGAAAGUACUUGAUUAUUCGAACUCAACGAGAAAAGUCGCAACCCAAUAAGUUAGGGCACUACUUUCUUGAAAUUUCCCAACACCAAGCAUUGCCUUUAUAUUUUUGAAAACUUUGGAGCCUUGUUUUUUAAAAAUGAUGCGUGGGGAAUCGUAUUGUAUUAUAAAUCAUGCAUAGUAACAUAUUAUUGUAGUAGGUAAAUAAUACAUGCAUUUAAACAAAAUGAUGGCAAUAAUAUAAAGAUCGUGCAUUAGAUACAUAUAUAUAAAAAUAAUAUAUAUAUAGCAAAUAUUAACAAUAUGCAUACAAAGAUAUAUAUAUAGCAUGUAUUAGGAAUGAAUAAACAAAAUAUACAAACAUACAAAGUAAUAAUUAAAUAAUGCAUGAUAUACAAAAAGGUAAUAAUUAAAUAAUGCAUGACAUACAAAAAAAGAGUAAUACAAUAUCAAUGUACAUGUUCAUGAAAUGUAAUAUCAAAUAAUAAAUAUAAAAUAACAUAUAACACAUGACAUAUGCAAAAAAAAAUGAAAUGAGUUAUUGUUAACAAAAUAUACAUAUAAUACAAAUAAAGACAUCAUAUUUAAUAAUAAUCUUAAAAUAGUAGUUGCUAUACAAUAUAUAAAACAUAAUAACAAAAUAUUUAUAAAAGAACAAUAAUUAUAUAUAAACUAUAUUGGGUUUAAAAAAUAUAUAAAAUAAAAGUAUGUAAAAGAAUUUAUAAAAUAACACUUAACAUGAAAAUAUCAUUUUAAAAUAAUGUAUAAUAAAUAAAUAACUAAUAAUUUAAUAUGUGUAUAAUAUGAGUUAAAAAUAUAAUUUAAUUUAAAAUUUUAAAAAUUUUAAAUAAUAUAAUGAAUAAUAUAAACAUAAAUAAUAUAAUAGAUAAUAUAUGAUAUAUAUGACAUAUAAAAAAAUAAGUAAUAUAGAAUAAAAAUAAAAAUAAAUAAAUGUUAUAUAAUAAAAUAUAAUUUAAAUAUAUAAGAAAUAAGAAAUAUAAUAGAUAUAAUAUAAAAUAAUGAAAAUAUAUAUGUAAGAACAAUAUAUAUAAAUAAUUAAUAAAUAUAUAAUACAAGUAAAAUAUAAUAAUAAUAUAAAAAUAAUGAUGUAAAAUAAUAAUAAUAAUUUGUGAAAAAAAUAAUAUAUAAUAAAUAAUAAUAAUAUAUAUAAUAAAAUAAUCUUAUAAUGUAUAAUAUAAAAGUAAGGUAAAAAAAAUAAAACAAAUAACAAUAUAUAAAUAUAUAUAUAAUAAAAAUAAAUAUAGGGCUAAAUUUCAAGUUCAGCAAAAUUACGGGGCGAAUUUAAAAGAAAUAAAACUGAAUUAAGGCCUUAAUUAAAACGCGCGUAAAACAAAAGGGACUCAUUGGGCAAAUUGCCCUAUUCCCAAUAAGGCGACGUUUCCCAGAAUGUAAUUGAAUAACCGUUGGGACUAAAUUGAAACAAUUGUAAAAUAUGAGGGCCAAAUUAAAAAAUAGAAUAACACGUAAUUAUAAAUUAAAAGAGGUGGAAGGACCGAUUGGGUAAUUAACCCAAUUCUAAAAAUCACGCGAAUCCUCCCCGGGUAAUCGGGUCAACGCGCGAAUCCCAUGGCUUAAUACAAUACCGUUUUGAGCUUAUUAAGUUAAGCAGAAACGAUGUCGUUUCAAGGAGGCUAUAUAAGCCAAUUUUGCAGCUUAAAAAUCAUUUUAACAUCAGUCUUAAAAAAAGGUCUUGAAAUGCUCUACAGAAGGGAAGAGAGAGGUCCCCAGCUCUGGCCUCCGGCCACGGUGCAGUGCUUGCACACGCGCCUCACACGCCGUCGUACACGGUGGUCUGAAGGCUUAAAAACCCUCGUCCUUCCACAAGUAAUCUCUUUUCCCUUAAAUCCUUACUCGUACAUGCUAGAACAGUUCAUAUAUGUACAAAAUAAAGCACGAGAUAUGCGAUUAAAUCACUUUUUGAGAGACUGUUGGUAUUUCCUUAAACGAAUCUGUGUAAGUAUAUUUCUUUCUUCGUAAAAAAAAGGUCCCUUUACACUGUUUUGAUUCGGGCUUUUAUAGCCACUACUGUUAUUACAUAAACUGGGAAAGAAAUCGAAGAUUUCUUUCUAUUUCUUGUCUGCUGUAUCCCCCAUAUCUUUGAUUGUGAUCUGCUGAAAUCUUUUUAUUUUAGUUUCCUUUUUUGUUUUUUCGUAUCUGCUGUGUUUCCUUUUCUUUUGCAGGCACUUACGAGAAAUCUGGUGGUGACGAGGGCUAGUGUCGAUUCGCGCGUUGAUUUCGGAGGCAGAGUCACGGCGCUGAUGGGGGGUCACUGGAACGACAUGAGAGAUGAGCAGACGCGUCCGUUGAGAUGGCUUCUGGAAUCUUCCAUUUGCGGCGCGAGGAGAAAGAGCUAGGGUUAGAAACCCUAGCUGGUAACUUAAGUUUUAGGCCUCUGCUAUUUGGGUCUGAUUUAGGUUUGGGCUUCGGGUGUAUUUGGGUUGAGGUUGUAACUGUAAUGGGUUAAGGGUGUAAACGGGUUAAGGGAUAGUUUUAGGCCUGCUAGGUAGUAACCGGUCUGUUUGGUUAUAACGGGCCUGAAGUAUUUGGGCCAAAAGGGUUUGAGCUAAAGGGUAUUGGGUUAGUUUAGGGUCUGUUGGGCUGGUUAUUUUAUUUGGUUUUGUAACCUGGAUUGUUUAUAUUUUAAUGGACUUUAAUAAAUAAAUAUUUAUUUAUUUAUUAUUUUGCUUUUGGGUUUUAAAGCCCGGUUAAAUUUGGGCUACUACAUCGGUCACUCUCCGUUAAAUGGUUAACAGAAAUGAUGAUGUGACAUUUUUCUAAUUGAUAUAAUAACAUAUUUAGUGUUAAGUACUUACACAUUCUAUCAAUUUAAUUCUAAUUCUAAAUAAUUCAACAAAUUUAACCCUCGACAUUUACGAAUUCUAUCAAUUUGAUCCUAAAAAAUAUUUCAUAAAAAUCUAAAUAAAUAAUUAUAUUAAUUUAAAUAAAAUCUAAUUAAAAAUUUAUAUUAUAUUACUCUCUCUCUGUGGGGGAAGGUUUCGGAGGGAGAGGAAAUUUUUUAUAUUUUAUUUAAUAUUAAUAUAAUAAAAACUUUUAAUUAGACUAUGUAAAUAUUAAUAUAAUUUUUUAUUUAAUUAGAUUUUAAUGACAUGUAUUUGAGGAUCAAAUUGAUUGAAUGUAUAAGUAUUAAGAACUAAAUGUAUUAUUUUACCAGUUAGAAAAAUGAUACAUCAUCAUUUCUACUAACCAUUUAACAAAGAGUCAUCGAAAUAGAAAUAAUUUAAAACUUGAAUGAUUAAAAUAGAACUGAUCUAAAAAGUUAGUAACUAAAUUGAAAGCUUCCAUAAUUAGAUGACCAAAAUAAAAAUACGCUAAUAAUUAGAUGAAUAAUUUUAUAAUUUACCCAAAAAGCAGACCAAAGGGUCAUUGUGAUAAUCUAAAAAAUUGUACUAGUUUUCAUCGAAACUUGCAAGCAUAAAGCGGUAAAAUAAAUCUGUGUGCCACCGUCCUAAAAGAAAGUAGAUGAAAAAUAUAAAUCUGUGGUGAAAGUGACGAGUGAAAUUUCAAGAUUGACACUGACCAAUCAACAUAAAACCCCACAAUAUGGGCUAAUUUGUAAUUAUAUUUCAUCAUUCUAUUUAAUCAUCAUCUUUUUCCAUCUUUUUCUUUAUCUAGUUAUUAUUAUUCUGUCGAAAGUUCUAAUAUUUAAAUUAUUAUAUUAAAUUAAUAAACAUUUUAAAUUUAUUUUAUUUAAAAAUAAAAUCAAAACGUAGGUUUUUAUAUUAAGAUUCAGAGUAUAUUUUAUUUUUUUAUUUAAAAAAAUAAAAAAAUUAAUUUUUAUAUGUUAAAUAAAAAAUAAUUUAAAUUUUUUUAUUAAAAUAUUUAUUUAUUUCUAUCGUUAAAUUUUGACAUAACUAAUAAAAAAAACAUACUACUGUAUGUGUAUGUCAUUCUGACACAAUCUGACAAUGCUACCAUGAAACAUGUUAAACAUUUUAUUGGUACAUAAUUAAGACAAAUUAAGUUUUGUAGUAAUUAUUCAAGAUUAAAAAAGUUUUUGUAGUAAUUAAAUUAAGUUGAGACAAAAUAAAACAGAAUAUACUCCCUAUAUGCUUGCAUGAAAACGUGCGACGACCAAACAACUAUACUAACUGUUGUUUCCUAAUUACUCAAAACAAAAGACAAACUCUCAAUUUUCAAGCAUAAGUUUAAGAAAUUUAAUCCAUAAUUAAGAAAUCAUAGUCACGUGCUACAUUUUUACAUAUUCUCUUAAAUUUGUAACUUUUUAUAGUUGAGUGGCUAAAAAAAAUAAUCAUAAUUGAGUGACCUAUACUGCAAUUUACCCUAAAAAUAAAAGAUUAAAACAUACCUAUAUAAUGACUAAAUUUCAAAAUUUUAAAAAUUAUAAGGUUUUAACAAAAAUAAAAAUAAUUAGAGAAGAGAUCUAUGGUAAAUAUGUCUUAAAAAGUGUUGAAAGUACCAAUAAUAAUGCAGGAGUGGGGUAGAUAUAGUCCAGCACGUGAAAUUCUAACAAUAACACGUGUCAGAUAUAUAGAUCCCCACGUGGUAAUGUACGAGAUCUCCCUAAAAUAUUGAUCCAUCACUCAUUCCAUUUCCCCAUGCAUGUUCUUCUUACCCAAAAAAGGAUGGUGGUUUAAUCCAGAAAUAAAAAUAAAUAAAUUAAUAUAAAUAUUUUCUUUUACAAUUAUUAAAUAAAUUAAUCAUCUGAUAAAGUUUUAUAACAACAUGCAUAAAGAAGCUUGGAUAAGUACAUUUUUUAUAUUAAUAAAUUAUGUCGGCUAGCAAAAUAAAUAAAAAAAGGUUUUAUUGUUCUUUUUUUGUAAAAUGUAAUAUAUAUAUAUAUAAAAUGUUAGCAUAUGCAAAAGAAAAGUUGGUUUUUGUGUUGAAUGUCUUAUCUAUCCAUCUAUCGAAAAUCAUCACGGGAUGAUACAUUAUUCUUCACUUUUUGUUUUUCAUUAUUUCUUAUAUUUUUUGUUUGAAAAUUUUUCUCUACUUACAUAUAUUAUAUAAUUAUUUCAUCAAUUUUUUGAUUGAGUUAUAUCUCGAUUAGCACGGGCAUUGUUGUCAAUACAGGAAGACAUGAGCUCGAAUAUACUGAAGCACACUAUCCUCCUAUUUAUGAGUUGAGGAGCGGCUAUGGAUAGUUUUAGGUAAGGGCGAAACUAGAAAAUCUUUUUAGGGGCCGAAAUUAAAUUGUAAUUUUUGCGAUAGCAAAAAUAUAAUUUUACCAUUUUAAUAGCCUAUAUCUUUAUAAUUUUUAAAGGAUUAAAUCAUUUUUUUAUAUUUUUAAGGGGUCAAAGUACAACUUUACAUUUACUAAUAUAAAAUUUUAAAGGGCCUAACUGAAAAUUUUACCAUUUUAUGGGGAUCGGGGCCCUUGCCAGCCCCUAAUUUUGCCCUGAUUCCAGUCAUUGUAUUAAAAAGAGCAAAUAUGAUCAAAGCUUAUAAUGAUAUUAUUAAAUAUAUAUAUAUUUCAUCAAUUCUCUUUGAUGCACUUUAAUUUGCAGAAGAAAUGAAAAUAACAUUGAAAAUACUUAUUAAGAUUUUUUUUUAAAUACUCAUUCAAAUCGUCGUGAUAAUUUAUUUUUUCUAUUAGAAUUAUACGUAUGCAUUUGAUUGAAAUAAUUAACAAUAUUAAUUAGACUAAUUAAUUAUAUUAUAAAAGUAGAUAGGGUAAAUUAUGUCAAAACUUAAAGUAUAUAGAUUAAAUGUCAAGUUUCAACCUAGUGUAGAGGCCAAAAUUGAAAUUUGACCAUUGUAUUAUGAUGUAAAAAAUGACACAAAUCUAAUAGAAAUGGGAAGCUGCGUGUCAAACUAUAAGACUCUUAGGGUACUCAAAUUAUAAAUAACCACGUACCAAUAUUAAUUAUUUGGACUAAUUAAUAAUAUUAUAAAAACAUAAAAAUUAAAUUAUGUUAAAAAUUAAAGCAUAUAGAUUAAAUAUCAAAUUUAAGCUAAAAUUUAACCGUUUUUAUAAUAUGCAGAAAAAGAAAAGAACAAAGAAAGAAAAAUAAUUUGCUGUGACACCUAUAUUAAAUAUAAAUUUAAAUCUAAAUUUACUUUUUUUUUUUGAAGAAUCUUAUUAUAAGAUCGGAUAAUAUUUGUUCUUUUUGAGACAAUGCCUAUAACUAGUCAUAAUUCCUCCCCAAUUCAUAAAUAGAAGGAUAAUGUGCUUCAACGCACUCGAACCCACAUUCUCCUGUAUUGAUUAUAAUACCCAUACCAAUCGAAUUAAAACUUAAUCGAUUAAAAUCUAGUUUUACGUCUGUUAAGAUCGUGAAUAGAAGAAAUAUAUUUAAAAAAUUGUAUAUUAUUGCCAAAAUUAAAAUCUGCAAACAAUUUAUCGUGUUGUAUGCAUUGUUCUCUCACAACUCAAUUAAGAAUAGAUUAAAAAUAUAUAAUCGUAAUGAAAAGUGAUUGGUCAUUAUAUUGUAUACGUUAUCGGGCAUUAUCUAAUAAAUGUCACCUAUGUAUAUAUAUAUAAAACAAAGGUGUCACCAAUAAUCAACAGUGUGUGAAUAUAUAUAUUCCAACAAAUAUAAGCUUUUGUAAUUUAAAGGUACACGUAUACAUUCGUAGGUUAUGAGAUUUAAAUGUGAAUAAUAGUUUUAGAUGGGGAUGUUAUUAUAAAAAAUUCAACUUCUAUUUUUAAUUUUUGAAAGACUAAUGAAAAUGAUUUCAUGUGUUUUAUGACUCAAAUAAAUCAACAUCUAAUGUGAUGGGUGUCUUUUUUGAACCAUUCAUUCAAUUGAGACUAAUUAAGUAGAUAUCAUCCUUACUAAGAACAGCUAAUUAACAGUAUAAUUUGUUGAAUAUUGGCAAUAUCCCACAUUAGGAAAAGAUAGAAAGGGAGGGGGUUUGGUUUGUUAUAUAUAGAACCCCUCCCCCUUUGGUUGUAUCAUCCCAAAAUCUUUUCCUUUGUAAUAUUUCUAGAAGAAAUAUUAAUUUGGUAGUGUCCGAGGACGUAAGCUAAAUUGGCCGAACCUCGUUAAAUCUCUGGUAUUUUAUUUCUUAUUUGUUUGCUUAUAUUUAAUAGCUUUAUGUUGGUUAUAUUUAUUUAGUUAUUAUUGCUAUAAAUAUCUAAGUGAGUUCUGUCUAGUUGUUGGGUUUUAAGCGGGACCAUUUGUGACCCCUCCAAUUUAACUGGGAAUUUUCUUAGUAUAAUUGUUGGCAUAAUAAUUAUCUAAAUAUUUAUGAUAAUAUUGUUAUUAAUAUUAUCGUCGCUUCCGCAACAAUUGGUAUCAGAGCCAAGGUUUUGUAGUAUGCUCUGUGUUUGCAGCUUAGUCUGAUCUUACACAUCAGAAACAUUUCCUAAAGCUUGUGGGUAUUCUGCAUUUGGUGGCUAUUAAGUAGAAGCUAUGGCAAAAAUGACAGAAGAAAAACCAUCCAUAUCAACAACUUCCACUUCGUACAUUUUGCCGAGGAUUGGAACUGCAAAUACGAGAUUUGUAGUGGAAAUUUUUGAUGGAACAGGUCAUUUUGGCAUGUGGCAAAGUGAGCUUCUAGAUGCCCUCUUUCAACAGGGUCUAGAUAUUGCUAUUGAGGAAGAAAAACCAGAAGGGGUUGAUGAUAAAGAAUGGAAGACCAUCAACCGAUUGGCAUGUGGUACAAUUCGAUCAUGUCUUUCCAGAGAGCAGAAGUAUACAUUCAGUAAAGAGACUUCUGCAAGUAAAUUGUGGAAAGCAUUGGAGGAGAAAUUCUUGAAGAAGAACAGUCAAAAUAAGUUGCAUAUGAAGAAAAGACUGUUUCGUUUCAAUUAUGUUCCUGGUACCACGAUGAACGAGCACAUUACCAAUUUUAAUCAGCUGGUGGCUGAUUUGUUGAAUUUGGAUGUGACUUUUGAAGACGAAGACUUGGCAUUAAUGUUGUUGGGAUCGCUUCCUGAGGAGUUUGAGUACCUUGAAACUACUCUACUUCAUGGAAAAUCGGAAGUAACUUUCAAUGAAGUAACUGCUGCAUUGUAUAGCUAUGAACUACGCCGAAAGGAUAAGUUGAAAGGUUCAGGUGAAGCAGCAGUGGAAGCAUUGGUAACAAGAGGUCGUCAGCAAAGUCAGUCUAAUGGGAAGAGAAGAAAGUCCAAAGGUCGAGCUGUUGCCAAAGAUGAAUGUUCCUUUUGCAAAGAAAAAGGACAUUGGAAGAAAGAUUGUCCAAAAUUGAAGAAAAAAGGGAAGACUCCGCAAGAUGCAAAUGUUGCAGAAUGCAAUAGUGAAGCAGAGUCAGACUUUUCUCUUAGUAUGACAUCUUCAACAUUAUAUGCAGAUGAGUGGAUCAUGGAUUCUGGUUGUUCCUAUCAUAUGUGUCCCAUUCGGGAAUGGUUCUUUGAAUUUCAAAAACUAGAUGAAGGGGUUGUUUACAUGGGUAAUGAUAACACAUGUAAAAUAGCCGGGAUAGGUUCAAUUAAACUGAGGAGUCAUGAUGGAUCUACUAGAAUUUUGCGGGAUGUACGAUAUGUCCCAAAGUUGAAGAAGAAUCUCAUCUCUUUGGGGUCGUUAGAAUCUAAAGGCCUAGUUGUGACAAUACGAGAUGGAGUUCUUAAAGCAACUUCAGGAGCAUUGGUGAUGUUGAAAGGCAUAAGAAAGAACAAUCUGUAUUACUACCAAGGUAGUACAGUGGUCGGGACAACAGCAGCAGCAAUUUCGAGUACCAAGAAGGACGCUGAGGCAACACAGCUGUGGCAUAUGCGUUUGGGCCAUGCUGGUGAAAAAUCCUUGCAAACUCUAGCCAAGCAAGGAUUAUUGAAAGGUACAAAGACUUGCAAACUUGAAUUUUGCAAGCAUUGUGUUCUGGGAAAACAACGAAGGGUGAAAUUUGGCACUGGGAUUCACAAUACUAAAGGUAUUCUGGAUUAUGUGCAUUCUGAUGUAUGGGGACCGUCCAAGACUCCAUCACUUGGAGGAAGACGUUAUUUUGUCACCUUUAUUGAUGAUUUUUCCAGACGAGUUUGGGUGUUUCCUAUGAAGAACAAAGAUGAGGUGCUUGAAGUUUUCCUUAAGUGGAAAACUAAAGUUGAAAAUCAGACAGGAAGGAAGAUUAAGGUUCUCCGAUCAGACAACGGUGGAGAAUAUAAAAGCGAUCCUUUCCUGAAGAUAUGCCAAGAUUGUGGCAUAGUAAGGCACUUCACCGUAGGUGGAACACCGCAACAGAAUGGGGUGGCAGAGCGUAUGAAUCGAACGCUUGUGGAGAAAGUUCGAUGUAUGUUAUCUAAUGCUGGAUUAGAUAGAAAGUUUUGGACUGAGGCUGUGACGUACGCUCAACAUCUCAUCAAUCAUUUGCCAUCAUCUGCUAUAAAUGGCAAGACUCCUUUGGAGAAAUGGUAUGGAAAACCUGCUACUGAUUAUGACACCUUGCGCAUUUUUGGUUCUAUUGCAUAUUAUCAUGUGAAAGAAUCAAAGUUAGAUCCAAGAGCAAAGAAGGCUCUAUUCAUGGGCUUCAAUGCUGGUGUUAAGGGAUAUCGUUUGUGGUGUCUAGAGGCAAAGAAGACGAUAAUCAGUAGGGAUGUUACCUUUCAUGAAUCUGCCAUGUUGAAUAAGGUAAAUCCAGAAGGAGUAGUAGUACUUCGCAGCAGGUGGAGUGUACUCCGCAGCAGGUGGAGUUUGAGCAGAGUGUGGUAAUUCCAGCAGAAGGUACCACUAGUGAUUCUUCAUUGGCAGAUGCAGAGUCAGAUGAGGAAGAGGUUUCUACCCAAGAACCUCAACAGCAAUCAGAGCCAAUUGCAGUCAGAAGGCAGAGAUGAGAAAUUCAGAAACCAGCUCGUUUCACUGACAUGGUAGCUUAUGCACUUCCAGUUGUUGAUAAUAUUCCAUCCACUUACACCGAAGCCAUUCAGAGUUUAGAGAAUAAUAGAUGGUUAGGUGCAAUGGAAGAGGAAAUGCAAUCUCUAGAGAAAAACAAGACGUGGAAGUUGGCACAACUACCAAAAGGGAAGAAGGCGAUUGGUUGCAAAUGGGUAUUUGCAAAGAAAGAAGGAUUUCCCGACAAAGAAGAUGUUCGUUACAAGGCAAGGUUAGUGGCUAAAGGCUACGCUCAGAAGGAGGGAAUUGACUAUAAUGAGGUAUUUUCUCCAGUUGUUAAACAUUCCUCCAUUAGAAUUUUGUUGGCCUUGGUAGCGCAGUUGAAUUUGGAGCUAGCUCAACUUGAUGUGAAGACCGCGUUUCUACACGGUGAUUUGAAGGAGGAAAUCUAUAUGACUCAGCCAGAUGGAUACAGGGUUGCUGGUAAAGAAAAUUGGGUGUGUAAACUUAGCAAAUCGUUGUACGAAUUGAAACAAUCUCCGAGACAAUGGUACAAACGAUUUGACAGGUUCAUGAAGGACCAGAAGUACAAAAGAAGCAAAUACGAUCAUUGUGUGUAUUUGCGCAAGCUUCAAGAUAGUUCCUACAUCUACUUACUCUUGUAUGUUGAUGAUAUGCUGAUUGCAGCAAAGAGCCAAAUGGAGAUUGAUAGACUGAAGGCUCAGUUGAGUAAAGAGUUUGAGAUGAAGGAUUUAGGGGAAGCUAAGAAGAUUCUCGGCAUGGAAAUAACUCGGGAUAGAAAGAGGGGCAAACUUUGGCUGUCACAAAAAUAGUAUUUGGAGAAGGUACUACAACGUUUCGGUAUGUCUGAAGGUACAAAACCUGUAAGUACCCCAGUUGCUCCUCAUUUUAAACUAAGUAACCAGUUAUCUCCAACGACUAAGGAAGAACGAGAGUACAUGGCAAAAGUCCCAUAUGCAAAUGCAGUUGGAAGCUUGAUGUAUGCAAUGGUAUGUACGAGACCAGAUAUUUCACAGGCUGUUAGUGUUGUUAGCAGGUACAUGCAUGAUCCGGGCAGGGGUCAUUGGCAAGCUGUGAAAUGGAUUCUGCGGUAUCUCCAAAAUACCAUAGAUGUCGGAUUGGCAUUCGAGCAGGAUGAAUCAUUUGGUCAAUGCAUAGUUGGAUAUUGUGAUUCUAAUUAUGCAGGUGAUUUGGAUAAGCGACGGUCUACAACUGGCUAUUUGUUUACUUUAGCGAAAGUGCCAGUUAGUUGGAAAUCUACCUUACAGUCCAUGGUGGCUUUGUCUACAACAGAGGCAGAGUAUAUGGCAAUUACAGAGGCUGUGAAGGAAGCAAUUUGGCUUCAUGGAUUGCUUAAAGACUUGGAAGUUGGUCAGAAACAACUUAAGGUAUAUUCUGACAGUCAGAGUGCUAUUCAUUUAGCAAAGAAUCAAGUUUUUCAUGCACGAACGAAGCACAUAGACGUUCGCUAUCACUUUGUGCGGGAAAUUCUCGAAGAAGAGGAGAUACUUCUCCAAAAGAUUCACACUACGGAGAAUCCUGCAGAUAUGCUGACUAAGGUGGUUACAAGGGCCAAGUUUGAACAUUGUUUAGACUUGAUCAAUGUCCGACACAUUUGAUAUGGCGUCGUUGGCGCAAAUUUGAAGACACUAUUGAAGUUUGUGUUAUGAGAAGAUGUUCAAAGAUGUGGAAUAUCGCCAAGGUGGAGAUUUGUUGAAUAUUGGCAAUAUCCCACAUUAGGAAAAGAUAGAAAGGGAGGGGGUUUGGUUUGUUAUAUAUAGAACCCCUCCCCCUUUGGUUGUAUCAUCCCAAAAUCUUCUCCUUUGUAAUAUUUCUAGAAGAAAUAUUAAUUUGGUAGUGUCCGAGGACGUAAGCUAAAUUGGCCGAACCUCGUUAAAUCUCUGGUAUUUUAUUUCUUAUUUGUUUGCUUAUAUUUAAUAGCUUUAUGUUGGUUAUAUUUAUUUAGUUAUUAUUGCUAUAAAUAUCUAAGUGAGUUCUGUCUAGUUGUUGGGUUUUAAGCGGGACCAUUUGUGACCCCUCCAAUUUAACUGGGAAUUUUCUUAGUAUAAUUGUUGGCAUAAUAAUUAUCUAAAUAUUUCUGAUAAUAUUGUUAUUAAUAUUAUCGUCGCUUCCGCAACAUAAUUAACAAUAAAUUAGUUUGAAACUAAUGCUAAGAUUCUAUCUCCCACUUAGGUCUGUAAAAAUUACGUAUCUAGAAUAUAUGAGUGUGCAGAGAUAAAGACAGAGGGCCCCAAAAUGGUAAAUUUUUUUUUAGUUCCUUCUUUUUUAUGAAAUUGUAUGUUUGUAUAUGAUUCAUUUCUGACUCCGUAAGUCAAUUUUUUGGCUUCGUCCCUGUAGAUGUGUUUAAAAAUAAUAUACAAUAGAUUAUGAAAUGUACGAUUUGAAAUUAAUUAAUGAUAACACUUCCAAUAUGUACGAGAUUAAAAAGAGGAAAAAUGGAUUAAAUUGUGAGCAAAAUGAUACUUAAGCAUGUAAAAAUAAAUCAAAUUAAGAAUAGUAAAUGCACUACAGUUGUUUAUCAUGGUGUUUUUAUCAAUUUUGAGUUGAUGUCGAGUUAACUUGUGACACUACAAUUGAUGGAGGUAACAAAGUAUACAUAAUAAAAUUAAAAUGUACAAAACAUUUCAAAAAAAAAAAUCUUGAUUGAGUGAUAAAAAUAAAGUUUUAUUGAUGCAAAUAUUAUUGGUUCAAAUCGCGCCAUAUAUAAAUUGUUUAUUAUUUUUUAAAAUAAAAAUGUCAAAAUAUCUUAGAAUAAUAUAACUUAUUUUAAAUAGGGAAAUGACAUUUUCAUCAUUUUCAUAACGAGUUGGUAUCCGGUUAACUCAUGACACCAACUCAAUCAGGGAUUUAAUUAAUAGGUUUGCACUUGAUAUAUUAUGAAUGUAUAAAUUUAUACAUUACUAAUUAGAAGUGUUCAUGGCCGAAUCAAACCAAAAAUUAACUUGAUUCUAAAAUAAAAUUUGUCAAACUCCAUUUGACAUCAUUUACACAAACCACCCAUUUUCUUGUUUAAAAAAAUAUAAUAUUAAAAAUAAAGUUUACAUUAAUAUUAUAUUAUAAUUAAAUUUAAGUAAAAAUUUAAUUUAAUUUAAUUUAAAUUCAGUUCUAGCGAAGCGAACCCAAUAUUUCAUAUAAAUCCUUUUGUAUAUUUUUGUACGACUAAUCUUUUAACGAUCCAACUGUCAUAUUUCAUAUUCCAUUCAUAUAAAUCAUGAAUAUCAAAUUGAUGUAAAUUAAAAUUUCCUAACUAUUUGUUUUAUGUAUAAAAAAUUUAACCAUUCAGUAAAUAUUAAUAUAUACACUAUUUUAGAUCGAUAUAUUAGAUAUUCAGUUCGAAAAUUUACAUGAAUAAUAAGUAUUAUUAUAUCGAUAAAUUCAACGAUUAAAUCAUUAAAAAUAUUAAUCGUACAAAAAAUAAAAGGGUGUAAAUAGAUACUUUCCUAUAAUUAAAUCUUAAUUGAAUUCGUAAACAAAUAUAAUUUACCAUAUCAAUCCUUUUUGAAGAAGUUUACAAAUAAUAUGCAUCCGAAAUACUAUAACCAUAAGUAAUCAUCCUAAAGUAUAAUCGAAUUGAAACUGAAAUAUAUCUAAAAUUUUAAUAUAAUAUUUAUUUUUAUUCAUAAUCCUUCUUCAAUUUUUAAACCUAACGAAAAACGAGUUCCUACGUUUAUAAUUAUAUUGACAAAGACACAUAUGUCGACGAGAACUACAAUAGAGAAAGAAAGUGAAAAAGCGAGGAGAAAUUUUCGAAAACCAGGGGCAGUUUCUCCCCACAACCCCGACACUAAGCGGUUUUUCUACAGUAAUAUUAGCAGGUUUAUUUCCUUUUCAUAUAUAUUUAUCACUACAAAUUAUUUUAUACAACUUGGACAGCGCCCACAAUAUCUCAUACUAGGGUUCUUUUGUUACAUGGAACUCAAACAAAACCGCUCUUUUUUUUUUUAAUAUUCUUCUUUGAACUUCUCUGUAUAAAUUUGUCAGCUAGUGUGUGUUUUUUUGUAUGCUAGUGAUUUCAAUUAUAAAAGAUGCUAAACAGUGCCAAAUACAGGCUUUUUGAUCAUUGAAGAAACGCAACGUUAGAUACUUGUAUAUUUGUUUUUUUAAGCUCUAUUACCAAAAAUUGUAUACUUUCCAAAAAUUGUAUGUUGAAUUUCCAAAAAAGAAAAAAAAACAUUUUUUAAUGAAUAAACCGAUCAAAUAAGGUUGUCUUUAUUAAAUUACGUUUUGAUUUUCGUUUUUUUAUCGUACCGAUUGAUGUUACGGGUGACACUAGUUUUUAGGGUUUUUUUUUCUUUAUUUUAAAGUUUGGGUUGUAAAUGCAUGGGACGACUCUGAUUCAACUGCAUGUGAAAGAAAGAGAAACAGCUUUCAUUUCGAGUCUUUCUUUUAAAUUUAUUUUUCCUUUCAUUUGUUUUGCUUAUGCUUAUUUCUAAUUUUGGGAUUGUAUAAUAUGUUGGAAAAUAAAUAAAGCUUAGUUUAGAUAAUCAUUUAUUUGUGAUUAUUGUAAAAAUAAUUGUAACAAUAAAAUUAAAUAUUAUAAUAAUAUUUUAACGUAAGAUAAAAAUAAAUUAAAUAGUGUAAUAUCUAAAUCCCACCUAAAUAAUGAAUGAAAUCAAUAAAAUUCACAAAAAGCGAUUGUUUUCACGAGGAGAAUCCCACAAAUUACAUUUAAAUUGUUGGUUUUGUUUUGGGUUUUUAACACUUACGUUGAAGUUUUACCAUAAGUCAUUAUAAAGUAUAAUGUUUUUAUAUAAGUAUAUGCCGUAAAUGAAUUUUGUUUGGGUAAAAGUAUUAUGGAGGUUAUUGUAUUAAAAGUUAGAUUAUAAUUUUUCUACUAAAAAAAUAAAAAAAAAUUAGUCAUUAUACGUUAGAUCAAAAAGCAAACUGAUUAUUCUGUUAAAAUUUCAUCCAUUUUUACUGUUAAAAAUCGAUCCCUAUAUGUUUUUAACAAUAGAAAUAAAUGAAAUUUUUAACAGAAAAAAAUCAAUUUGCUCUUUGAUCUAAUAUACAUUGACUAAUUUACUCAUUACAAUCUACAACUCAAUAUAAGGACUUCCAUGAUACUUUUACCUUUUGUUUGAUUCUUCAUCUACUAUACUUUACAUUUGAUUGAUUUUAUGUCGUAAUUAUUCAGGCAUAUAUUUAUACUUAUAUCAUACUUAUGAGUAUACUAUACUUGCAAAAUAAUUUUGUAAGAAUUAUUGACAAAUUAGGGGUUUUUCAUUUUUGUUGGGCUUAUAAUUGAGUUGUUUAGUAAUUAUAUAUAUAUAUAAAUUUUGUGCAAUAUUUUUCAACUUUGACAGGAUGAAAUGGAGUAAUUUUUCCUUAAACCAAUUUAAAUUAAUUUCUAUUUCAAAUAAACACACCACUAAUGUACCCCCAGAAAAGAAAAAUACACCACUAACAACAAGGUAGAAGACUAAUAAUUACAAUUAAUUAGUGGAAAUGUUGAAAAUUAGCACAAACACAAUUAAUGAACCCUCUAGCUAAUCUUUAAAUUUAUUAGCCCACUCUACCUACAAGUCUUAUCUCUUUUUUCUUUUUUUUUUUUAAAUCUACCUAACUUGUGAUCGCAAUCGACCAACAAUGAAAGCUCCGGUCCCAUACCCCUCUCAUGGUGCUGCCUGCUCAAUGCUGCUCCCAAUAUAGCCUUAUAUUUGCCCCCCAAAAAGUGUAACCCUAUCCUCCUAGAGACCAUUAAGCACUUGCACAACAAAAGUUGUACAUUGUAAGGGUUUUUCAUACUUUAGUGAAAAUUGAGUGUACACAUAUAUACACGUUCACACAUAUAUUUUAUGGUUUCUUACAUUUUCUUUUUUGUCAUUUCUAAUUAAAUAGAGACAAAUUGUAAUAGGAGAAAAGAAUCUUGAUAGGGAUGACAAUAGAGCGAGGUGAGAUGGAUGUUGUCGAAUCUACCAUCGUUCCAUAGUUGACAUGCUUUGCUUCAUCACCUAUCUAUUUCACUAUGGAUGCCUAAUUUUGAUAAUUACUACCACUUUUAUAGAUGUUGAUGCAUCCAUCCCACACCCUGCCUCACUCGACUUCAUUUUAAUUUUUACUAAUUAUUUCUAAUUUUUUAAAUAUUUUUAAAGUCAAGUAAAUAUUUAAACAUAAAAUAUAUGAGUUUAUAACACAUUAUAUAAAUUUAUAAAUUUAUCCUUGUAAUAGUUUUAUGUACAAUGGUAAAAUUGUAAUCUCAUAUAGCAGAGUGAGACAAAGUUGAGCAGGCAAAUACCAUAAACUUUAUACCCAUUGUCCAAAAAAAAAAAAUCCACCCUGUCUCAUCUUGCAUCCAUUUUUCAAGAAAAAAAAAACUGCUCCAAUCAAAGUGGAUUGAUUCGAAAUUCAUCAGGCGGUUUAAAUUUUGCCAUCCUUAUAUUUUGGUCCCUCAAUAUCUUUUUAAAAUUUUUAUUAGGCUCUUAAAAAUUUUAAUUAUACUUCUAAAUUAUUUGAAAAAUUCUUAUUAAACCCUUCAAAAUUUUUAAAAUUCUCAUUAGAUUCUUCAAUUUUUUUUAAAUUUAAUUAAAUUAUUCAAAAUUUAGUGUCAAUAUCCGCGAUUGUUACUAGGUCACAAUCUUUACAUAAACUUGAGCUUUCUGAUUAGUCAUUACACGUUACCCAUUUUCUCAAACAGGUUGUUUAACUUGCUUGUCAUGUUGGGAAAGCUAAAUUUGCCUAGAAAGGUCUCUAAGCCUCGUAUUUUGCUUGAAGAUUUUCAAUUUGUGGGGGCAUAUAUUUUAUUAAAAUUUUGAGAGAUUCAACCAUUUCGAAAUUGAGUUUACGUCUCUAAUUAAUAUAGUGGGGGCAUGAUACCUACGUAAAUGAAACGAUAUACAAAAGAAAAUUUUAUGCUUUCACACGUAUAAAUUAGAUUAUGGUAUGUGUGAGCAAAUUUUUUUAUGUAAAAUAAAUAUUUAUUAAAAAAGAAAAUGAAGUUUUAAUUGAAAUUAUAAAAUUAAGACUAAAAAUUAUAUUAUUCUAGAUUUAAAUUUUUUUUCCUACUAAGUUAAUAUUCGAUUAAUUCAUGAUCUCAACUCAAACAAAAAUUUUAAAAGUAUAAUGAUUUAAAUUAAACUAGCUAGGGUAGCAUUGUUGUAGAUGUUAAGGCCACUUGUUAGAGAAUACAAGAGAAUCAUGUUGAAGUUUGAAUGGCUAGAAAUGUAUACCAAAGUAUUUUAAUGGUGGACGUAAAGAAUCACAGAACUUUGUUAGAAGAUCGCACAAAAGAUUUUUAAUGUUAAUGAAAACCCCACUUGUGAUAAGGCAAAAUUUAGUUUGAAUGACUUGCUAGAAAUGAAAAUGAUUGUUUUUUUUAUUGAUCAUCAAUGCUAAAUAUUAUUAAAAAAAAUUAAUGAACUAAUAAAUUUAAUAAUACCCAUUUAUUAAUCUAGUUUGCGUGUUGUUUUGGAGUGGUAAUUGAAAAGAAAUUAUAAACAGUAGAUAUUGUGAAAUCCUUGGUUGAUGUUCUAACAAAAGCAGAAUAAGGAGUCCUUCGUUUUUUAAAGUCUGGAUGUGAUUAUUAUUUGCUGCAUUUUAGUUUUUAUUUGAAUUGAUGUUGAUUGUUUCAAGUCGAGUGUUUUUCAGAGUGAAAGAUUGCUCUAGGAGUUUUUGUAACAUGUUUUUAAGCGAGGUUGGUAUUUUUCAAUGUCUUUCUUUCUUCUUUCUUUUUUUUUUUAUCGAUUCAACAAAAAAAAAGAUGUCCAUUUAUAAUAAGAUUUAAGCCCGAAUAAAUUUGAAAAAAGUACCAAAAAUUUUGUAAACGAUUUAGGAAAUAAUUCACUCAAUCAUAGGUUCAAUUAGAGAAGCCAUAAUAUUGGAGCUAAAUCCCUUAAUCUCUCUCUAUAUGUAGUAUAUAUAUGUAUAGGUAUUUUAUUUGUUAUAUAUUUCCAUUAACUACUAUUGUAUUUCUUGCCUUAAAAAGAAUUAAUUAUUUGACUUCUUUGAUUAGGUCGAGGAAUCAAAAAAUGAAGCCAGAAGACACCACUUAUCAAAAGAUUAUUAAGAUGCAAUUAAAGAACAACAGUUGGUUGAAUUGAGAGAUCAUUCCCUAUUGUAUUGACUAAAAUCAUAAGAUCUGUUUUAAAUGAUCUUCAAAGCCAAACAAUUUUGUUUAGUGCCUCAGUGGCUGUGGGUCCUUAAUUAAUUUAACUUCGAAAUGUGUAUCGCAUGAUUAUCGAUGAUCUACACCCUAAAACCAUUGACUCCUAUGUUACAUAUUUUAAAGGAAUAAUUAAAGAUAGUUCACAAGAUAUUGUUGAGAGUUAUUUGUAAUUAAAAAUAUUAGUGAAUUGGGAAGUUUGAUGAUGUUUGGGUAGAGUUUUUGUGUCUCAUCCUUGAUUCCUUUCGAGGUGGAGGACCCUUAUAUGGAAAAGAAUGAGCUUGGUGUAAGUCCUUCUAGCACGAUAUUUUAUCGAGUAGGGCUAUGGAAUGCUAUUAGUAGAGUUUUGGAGUGCUCUGUUAAGAUAUGAUUAGAUGUGACUUGAUUUUACCUUUAUACAAUAAUUAAUUUUUAAUUUUACUUUGUCUCUCUUAGAAAAAAUUUAAAUUUUGACCAUUUAAAAUGUAUAAAAUUAUAAAUUAGUAAUAAUAGUUGUAAUCUUAAUUAAUAAUCUCCUUUUCAUAUUGGAAUUAAGGUUUAUAUAUAUAUAAAUGCCAAUUAUGUGAGCUGUUUUAAGGAUAUGAACCCAAAAGAUACAAAAUUAUUUAUAAAAAGGGAAUUCAAUCGAUUUGAAUAAUAUUUAAACAAAAUACUUAUUAAAGAAGUCCAUAAGCAUUUAAAUAAAUUAAAUUAAUGGGUUCCAUGUUUAGUAGUUGCAGUACAAUGAAAUCUAACAUUUUAUAUGUUCAAAGAUUGAGAACAAUUAAAGCUAAAAAUUAAUGUAUAUUUUGUUCUUUCUAUGAUUAGCUUAAUAACAUUAAUUAUUUUUAGUAGAAAAUAUACACGAUUCCUCAAUAUUGGGAAAUUCAGGCUGUCGUAUAUGAAAAUUCUUGAUAUAUUACUUCUUUAUGUUUACCAAUUUUAUUGAACAAAUCUAAAAGAUUGCAACAAUGAAUUGAAUUAUGAACUAGUUGGUCUACUAUUGUUAUUGAAAAUUAAAGCUUAAUUAUAGAAAAAAACAAGUGCUAAAAGUUAAUUUGAUUCCACAACUGGCUCCAUUACAUCUUUGAAAAUCUUUACUAACUAAUAUGACAGUUAUUUCUAUCGGUUUUCUAAGAAGAAAUUUCGUAGGUAAAGAUGCAAUCCGUCUAUAAUCAUACAUUAUUCUUUUUCCCUCCUACCAAACAUAGUAUUAAGAAUCGAGAAGGGAUUGUAUGAAACUAUAAUUUCACGUCAUCUCUAUCCCUUUCCAAUAGGAAAAUCAUAAAUCAAAAUUUUCCUCCUGAAUUUUAGCAUUUUUAAUUGGAUUUGAAUUUUUUCAGGAGGAGAAGGCUGUAAAUCAGGAGGAAAAAUCUGAUUUGUUAUUCUCCUAUUGAAAAGAGAUAAAGAUGAUGUGGAAUCACAAUUUCAUACAAUCUCUUCUCUUAGGGAUUAUUUAAUAAAAUUAAUUACUCAAAUUAUUAUAUAUAAAAUUAUAUUUUAUAUAAACUUAAUCUCGCAAACAAUCAUUUUGUUUUUUUUAUCUCAUACUAAUUUUACUUUCAUUAUUAUAGUAAUUAAUCUUAUCAUUAUUGUUGUUCUCAAUCUCACUAGAACCAGAUUUACUGUCCAUCCAAAUAGAUCUUUAGAGUGCGUUUGGUACAUGUAAUGUAAAAUUACUUUGAUACUAAAAUUAAUGCAAUGUGAUAUUACUUAGCACAUUAUCACGUUUGUUAAAUUUUCAUUUUGGUUCAUUAGAUUAAAAAAUAAAAUUUUGUUGUUUGAUUCACGUAAUGUAAGAUUAUUUAAAAUUAAAUUUUACUAAAUUAUUAUUUUUAUAAAAAAUUUUUCAACAGUUCAUUUCGUUUGAUAUUAAUUGAAUAUAAUAUAUUAAUUUUAUAGUUAAUAUAUUAAUUUUCCUUCAAAUACAAACCUUUACCACAUUGUUUGAAUAUACCAAUUAUGAUUUCUUUGAUUUUGUUACUACAUAUUAUUUUUCUUUUUUAUUAAAAAGUAUCUUAAAUAAGUUAAUUGAAUUUUAGUUCAGUUGACAUUAACACUAUUAUCUAUAUAAUAAGAUGUGAGUUCAAACAUACGUAUAUGUGUUUUCUAUAAUUAAAAACUCCUUGCAACUUACAGGUGUCAAAAUUCAGCUGCAAUCAAACUCCAUAGAAACAUCAAAGGAAGAUCUCCCAUACAGCCAGUAUCAACCCGAUGCGUCAAUCACUAGAACACCAACAGAGUGAUAAUAAGCGGAAAAAAAACAUUAGCUGCACGGCAACCAUGUAAAGUUCAAGCACACCAAGCAUCCCUAACACCAUGAUAAGAAUAUGGUUCACCACCAGGCAGUCAACAUAAAUCCUUUAUAAAAUCAAAUCAUGCUUCACCAACCGAAGGAAUUCGGUGACAACAUCACAAUCAGAAAGCUCCUAACCCCUUUAAAAUCCCAUUUUCCAAAACCUGACAGCAAAAUUGCAUAAUGAAUAGACAAGUGUUCACUUCCUCCAUGCAAUUUCAACACUAAAAAAAAAAACAGAUAUAUCCCAAACGAUAAUCAAACUCUUGAUCCACCAGCUAGCAGACUCAUCAAAACGAAAAUCGAAGUCCUCAUCAAAGAUACUUAUGCUAAUUUCCUUAAGUAUUUCUCAUACAUAAUUCAUCAGAAAAUCUCAAAGUUAAUUUUAGGGAUAAAUAUCAAAAUUAUACAUGAAUUUUGAUCAAAUAUGUAAUAUUAUACAUUAAUUUUGAUUUUAUACAAUUUUAUAAAUGAAAUUUUAAUUUGAUUCAGUUUUCACAAAUCAUUGACAACAUUAUCGAAUUAACAUCAUUUUACGUUGAUAUAUUGCAUACACAAAUAAAUAUAUCAAUUCAAUAUGAAAAUAAAUGUAUGUAUCUAUUUUUUUAAAUAUGUAUAAUUGAAUUAAAAUUGCAGUUUUAUGUAUACAUAUAAAUCAGAAUUCAAAUUUCAUAUAUAUAAUUACAUAAAUUAUCUAAUUUGUUAAUAAUAAGUUGAAUGAUAAAACUAAAUUAAAGGAUCAUGACUUUCAUGAAAGUUGAUAUAUAUUAUAUUCAAUGACCUAAGGCUGGGGAUGGUUUGAAAUUAUAUAUAAUAGUAAAAUAGUCAAUAUGUGAAUUAAGAAAUACUUAUAAUUUGGUUACUUAAAAUUGAAAAGCAAACCGAAACUAGAAGAAAAAACAAAACCCCACUACUUCAUUCAACUAAUUGAAUGAAUGGACUAAAGGUUCGCAACGCGUUUUACUGUAUAAAUAUUUGAUAGGUUUUGAACUUUGAAGCUAAGUAGUGUGGCAUGGCGUGUUCAUCUUUUGAGUUUAAUUAAGAUACGCUAUUAGUUGUAUCAAGUUUGUCUCCGUUCCCCCACGUUAAUUGGAGUAUCAAGUUUUGAUAGGUUAAUGCAUUGAAAGUGUUUUUAUUAUUGGAACUGGAUCAGAUUAGUUCGCCUAUUAUUAAAAAAGAUCAAAUAAGUGUAAAUUGUAAUAGAGUUAAUAUUUACUGUACUAAAAAUAUAUCGAAAGUCAUUUUUUCCAAUUGUAGUUUGUUGACGAGAGAAUUAACUCCUCUGGUAGAAGUCUUGUGUUCGAAGUGUCUUCCUCUAAGCAGUUGACCCGAAGCAUAAACCGUAUAUAAUUCUCCGUGGAGGUCGGGGACAAAACCCUGACAAGGAGAUAAUACCUUCGAUUAUUGGGGUUCAGGACAACUGCCUAGAGGACGACACUUCAAAAACAAGACUUUUCCCAGAAGAGUUGAUUCCCCCUCAACAUAUAUAGUUCAAUUCCAAACAAAAAAAAACUAUUUCCAAAACCAUAAAAAUUUUUAAAAUAUUAACCAUGUUAAAUAGUAAAUUAUAUUUUUUAAAUAAUAAAUGUUAACUUUAUUACAAUUUGGUCUUAUUUAAUUAUUUUAAUAGUACAAUAAUUCAAUUAAUUCAUUUAAUAGUAGAGAAAUUGAUUUGAUAUGUCAUUAUAGUAAAAUCACCUCUUACAUACAUUCAUAUAUAUAUGAAAUUCUCUACUUGACAAACAACUUGAUUGUUGACGUAUUGUUGACGUUGGAGGGAUGGCAUUUAGAUAUAAAGGACAAUAAUGCGUAUUAAUCAAAUGAUAUUAGGGGGAAUGCUAAGGAGUUAAUUUCGGUAAACUAAGGAUCUAAUCAAUGUAGUUGGAAAUUAACUAGGAAAAUCAAAUCUUUGAAAUUUAUUUUUACUGUUCUCUAUUUUAACAAGCAAAUCAAAUCUUUGAAAUUAAGUUGUAUCAAGUAAACUGUCCUUUUCAUUAGAAAUUAACAUAAGUUUUAGCUUGUAAUUUAGUGCUAAGAUGAGGAUGAUGUCAUGAUGAUUGAUCUAAGUUUAACGUGCAUGGUGGCAUAUGUUGAUGUAAGGAUUUUCGGAUGGGUAUUCUCUAUUUUGUAAAAAAAAAUAAAAAAAAAUCAUACUUAUAAUUAUAGUUUUUAUCUUUAAAUUGAGAAAAAAGCUCUAAAUAGAAAAGGAAUAACUUUUGUUUUACAUGAAUACAGAUUUGAAAGAGAGGUUAAUAUGUUUUUGUGUCUUGGUGCAUGCACUAGAAUUUGGCACCAAGUAUUGAGAUUCUAGAAGCACUCAUCUCAAAUCUAAAUUUGUUGAAGGGUUAAGUGUCAAAAUUUUGAAUAAAUUGAACGAAAAUAAUAGAAUUUGAAAAAUGAUACGAGAUAAAACAGUUUAAAAAAUAGAUCGGACUUUAUCUCUGAUGUAAUUUAUAAAAUUGCUAUGAGACAAAAUGUAGCUUACCUAUUCUCUUGACAUAUUUUGAAUAGAUUUCAUUUUUUCUCUUUUUUAGGAGGUUAAGCAACAAUUUAUGUGAACAUAAUUGGUGAAGAUAUUCAAUCAAGUUGAGAUAUUUUUAAAGAGUUAUAAUAUGAUUCUUACAUUAUUUAAAGAUAUUUAAUUGAUGAAAAAAUAUCUUUUUAUUCCAUAUCAUAUCAAGGGAUUAAUUGGGAAAGCUAUUAUCAAUCUACAACUCUUAUAUAUAUAUAUAUAUAUCAUACUACUUUUUUGAUUAGUUUGUGAGUAAGCUUUUAAAGAGGAAAGUCUUAGUGGAAAAUUGAAUUUAGAUAAUUGAAUAGGAGUGAUGCCAUAGUAUAAUGAGUAAGUUGAGCUUAAAUAAAUAUUUUAGUAUAGAAUUAUAGUAGAUAACUCUUUAUGUAAAGCCUUGUAGACAUAAAAAAAAAUCGGAAUUGCAGAAUCAAUUCAUGUGUUCAUUGUUUCACUUUUUUAGUUUCAAUUAUAUUUUAAGUUGCAACUCAUAAUAUAAAUUAACAACUCAACACUAACCAAAACAGAAAACAUUAGAUAAUAAUAAAAGUUGAACGUAUCAGCAAACCUUUUUUUGCCAUGGAAGCAAAACUAUUAAAUAAUUUUUUUUUUCAGUAAGUGUUUGAUACUAAUGAAUCUAUUUAUAGUAACAAAUCUUAAUUUUAAUUUGUAAGUAACCUUAAUAUUAAUUAAAUGAUAAUUAAUAAAAGCAAUAAAUGUAAAAUUAUUAAGUUUAUUUCAAUAUUACUAUAACUUUAUCUAAUUAAAUUAUUUCUUUCUAAUUGAUAUUGCUUUUGUUAAUAUACUAAAAUACUUUUUUUUAAUAUUAAUUUCGUAAUAUAAUAAAUAAUAAAAAGUACUUUCCUCCGUUUAAUAGUUCCUACGCAAUUUGUACUGAAAAUAAAAUUGAUGAGUCCCGCAUGUCUGCAAGUCAAAUGGUACAGCCCAAGUUGCGAAAUAGCAUUUUAGGGGUGCAAAUUGUGUUUAGUUCGAAAAAGCUUAUGAACACACCUUCUCUUAUCAAAGGCAAAGCUUUAUGUACUAUAGCAACUAGGGAAGAAAAUGAAGCUCAUUAGCAUUCGAGUAAAAUUAAAAUUAACAACAAAAAAACAACAAAGCAACGUACAUAUAUAUCUAUAUAUAUCUGUCAUUCUUUUACGGUCAAAACAUAAAUAUAUAGAUACACUGCUCACUGCCCUCAUGGACAAGAAAAGUCCUAACUAUUAGAGACAAAAUUACCUAAAAAUAUGUCGCUCCUUAACCCAACAUUGAAAUCUCGUACCCUUCCCAUUUCAUGUGAUUCCUGGGGAAGGGCUGGGCAUUGGGAGCCAAUGUUCAUGCAUGUCCUAAACCUUUAUGUCUUUGUCUCUCUUGUUCCUUUUAAUGAUGGGAAAGCAUUUGGUAUAUUGUUUGUAUGCAAAAUUCAACGUAUGGUUAGUACUUCUGUCUGUAGGAUUAUGUUGAGGAGUUUCUAAUGUAGCCGUCUGUUCUGUAUCUACUAGGAGGGUAACCAGUGCAUGGAUGUCCUUCAGAGGAAUUUAGCUGAAAAUAUGUUGUUUAUUUUUAUCUCUUAGACAUUUUAAGUCCCAAGCUGACAGCGACGAAGCUAAGAAUAUUUUUUAGAGGGACUGAGAUUAGAUUAAAAUUUUUAUAAGAGUUAAAAUGUAAAAUUUUUCAUUGUAAGCUUAAAACUUUGUAAUUUUUAAAAAAAUUAAAUUGUAUUUUUAUCAUUUUAAGGGAUCAAAAUGUAAUUUUAUCAUGUAUUAAUUUAUAACCUUUUGAAUUUUUGAAGGGCUAAAAUGUAAAUUUUCCAUUCUAAGGGGACUAGAGCCCUGCCUACCUCUCUAGUGUGCCCAUGCAGUUGACCUAUUUAACUUUUUUUUGUGUACUGAACUUUGUAGUUAAUAAAUUGUUCUUUUUAUUGAAAAAAAAAGUGUUGAGGGAGUUUUUAAGUCUCUAAAUUAAUGUUUGGUUAAGUGUUAAUUGAUUAUAGCAUUGUCUGCUUAGAAAACUUAUCAUGUUUAAGUUGGGAAAUUUGAGCAACAAAAAUUAUUGGGCUAUGAUUCUUGUUAAUGUUUUGGACGACAACAAGCCCAUCUUUGAUAUCCAAACUACACAUAGUAAAUAUUGGUUUGGAUUUGAAUCAAAGCAAUCAACUUCCCAAGUUAAAUGAAUGUGAUUGAAUUGAGCAAAAUUUGAAAGUAUAUCUUGAGGAUUCAAGACUUAUCCUGGUAUCAUUGAAUAUGUUCUUUAUACAUAUUAUCUUGCUUGUUUCGAAGGAAGAUUAAUUAUAAUUGAUAGAGUAUGUUAGCAGGUCUCAAUUAUUUAAAAAUUUAGGAGACUUGUAUAUGUAAUGUACUAAGAGCACUUAUUGUUGUUUAUUAGAGAAACGGUUAUUUUAAGUGCAUUAAUUGAGAGCACAAUCAAUUGUGCGACUUGGUUUAAGUCCUAAAGUCUAAUUUUGAUUCAAUAAUAUACAUUUUUAAUCAUCAAUUUAUUUUUACAUUGGAUAAAUAUAAUUAUUUUAAACUUAAAAUGAUGCUAUAUUAAUAAUUGUAUUAAUAAUUUGUAAGAAUUGUCUCAAAUCAAAAUUUUAUGUAUAAAAUUAUGCAAAACCAAAAUUCAUAUAUAAACUUGAACAUUAAACUAAAGUUCGUAUACAAUUUUGAGAUUAUAAUAUAUUUAUUGGCAUAGGCAUUAUUGUCAAUGUAGGAGGACGUGGGUUCAAGUGCGUUAACGUGCAUGAUCUUUCUAUUUAUGGGUUGGGGAGGGACUAUGGGUAAUUCUAGAUAUUGUAUCAAAAAGAACAAAUAUGAUCAGAACCUAUAAUGAAAUUGUUCAAAAUUAAUAAUAAUACUAGAGAAGUAAUGUUUUGAUUAAAAAAACUUACAUGCAUAUAGUAGGUAAGUUAUUUUUAUUUGUUUUUCAAUAAAAGUAAAAUAUUUAUAUAAUUCUAUUUUUUAAAAUAUUUUUUCCUAACUAAGUUGAUGUCAGUUAACUCGAUACACCGAAUUUAUGUAAAAAAAUAUAUAUUUAUAAACAAUUAUAUUAAAAUCAAAUGAGAUUUUAGUUGUAAUGAUUAAGUUAAAAGUUUAAAAUUCAUGUGUCAUGGAUUCAAAUCCUAAUAUAGUAUUAUUUUAUUAAAAACAUUAAAUCACAAAAAUAUUUUUCUAUUAAUAUUUAUUACUUUAUAAAAUUAUUUUAGUAAAUUUUUUAAUUAAGCUAAUAUCUGAUUAACUCGUGAUACCAACUUAAAUAUAAGUUUUUAUAUAUACAUUGUGAAGGAAUAACUUUGGAUUGGUAAAGAAAAGGUUCAUAAAUAACUUUCAGUUCAAGUUGAGCCUUUAUAGAGUCCGGGCUCUACUCAAUCUAGGUCCAUUUUCUUAUCAUGGAUUUGGGUCAAAGCUCAGCCCAGUCUUCUUUAGAAGAAACUUUUCAAUUAUUAAAUUAAAACAUUAGAAUUUUUUGUAAUAUAUUAUUAAUAUUAUAUGAUAAUAAAAAAAAAUAUUAGUUAAUAAUUAUUUUUUUUUAAUUUUAUAAUCACAUUAAAUAAACAAUAGCGUUAAUUAAAUUUUGCAUUCGUGUUGAAUUACACUUAUUGUUUUAAAUUAAUUAUUACGUAAUUAAUUUUAUAAUUAUAUACCAAUUAAAAUUAAAAUUUUGUAGUGUAAUUUGAUGCAUUAGCCUUCACACUACUCAAGUUUUGAUUGAGUGGUCUUUUGUAUAGCAAUGUUCAUACUUUAACAUUGUUUUACAUUUGUGAUUGUAAAAGACGAUUUGUGUCUUUUCUCUUUUUCUCAAUGAAAUAAAAGAUCGAAAGGUUGAUAAUUUAUUCAAAAGACUUACAAGAUAAUUUGGGAGAGUUUAUACUAAAUAUACGAAGGUGAAACCAUAAUUAUCUACAAGUGUCGUGAAUGUAUAUAUGAUCAAUUAGCGACCUAUGCGUGUGUCACGACUUAGCAUUUUGGGCUAUCUUGUAACAUUGUAUUUGAAUUAUCCUGUUUAAUUAUCUACAAAUACACUUGCUCAUGGGUUGGGCUAUCCGGCUCAUCUCGAAGGCCCGCCCGAAAUGUGGGAGGAUUUGGGUAAAAAUAUAGGCCUGAAAAAUGGGCUUGAACAAAAAAAUAAGACCCGUUUAAAAAAUAGGUUGGGCCUCAGGUAAGGUAUUUUUAGCCCGGGCUCGGCCUGAAUUCACUAAAUGACAAAAAAAAUCUGCCAUUUUCUUUUUUGUUUUUUAAUGUUAUUUUCUUGUUGUUUUCUCCCUAUUUUGCUACUAUAUUACUAUUAGUUGCUACUAUUUUGUUGUUAUUGUUUGGAUAUUGUAUAAAACUUAUUUUAUUAUUAAUUUUGUUAUUAUUUUAAAGGUAUUUGUUAAUUUUGUUAUUAUUUUAAAGGUAUUUGCUUGUUAAGUUGCAUCUAUCUUAGUGCUAUUUAAGUCUACAUCUUUUUAAAAUUUAUUUUCAAUUUGUUGGAAAAUAUUUGUUUUGAUUUUUUUAAAUAUUUUUGAUGUAUUAUAUAUAUUUAAAAAUUAUAUAAAAUAAUAUAAAAAUAAAUACGGGCGGGCUGGGCCGAGCCCAAAUUUUAGUAUUUUUAUUUGGGUCGGGCUUGGGUAAAAUUUUUGGCCCAUUUUUUGGGCCCGACCUGGCCCGAGCCCAAUGAAUGGGCCUAAAAUUUUAGUUGAGCCCUGCCCGAACCCGGCCCGGCCCAUGAGCACCUCUAUGGACCACAAAUUCAUUACUUAAUAGAUUCAAAUUCGGAAUUUCCUAUCACAAAAAUUUAAAAAUAAUCAUAGAUUUGUAAAAAGAUAAUUCUAAUUUAAAUCUUACGACAUCAUUUACAGGAUAUAUUGUUAGACAAAACACGUUAGCGAACAAAAAUAUAUAAAUAUAAAUAAACAAAUAUUUAUAGAUAAAAAAUAAAAUAAAUUGAAUAAUUUAUAUUUAAAUUGUCAGAUAUGAAAAACCAAUAAAUAACAUAAUAAAAACCAGGAAUAAAAAAGAAGAAACGAGUUUUACUAGAUGUUGAGACCUGUUUUACACAGUUUCCUUAAGACAGAUUUGGCUGCUCCUACAGUACUUGGAGAAUGUUUGGUUGAAUGUCUCCUAGGAUACAACAACAUGAUGAUCGAAACAAUAGCAUCUCUGCAAUGAUCAACGGACAAACGGUGCCUUUUUUCUAUCACUGGAUGUUGGAAAAUAUAGAGAGGAAAAGAGAAGAAUUUUGGAGAAAAAUAAUCUCGGUGUGAGAGUGAGCAAAAAAUUCUAAAGAAGUCUUAGCCUUUUAUAGACAUUCAAAGUGGGGGAGUUUUUGGAAAUAUUCAUGUAUAACGAGACAAAAUCUGCAUUAAAGGGGCAAUUAAAUCAAUUUGAUUAAAAUAAAUUUUACGUUGGGCUAAAUAUCCAAAAACCCAUUAUGGGCCCAACCAAUCCAAACAUUUCGCAUCGCUUACAUUAUGUGAACAAGCCCCAACCCUGAUAGGUUUGGAUCUACACCCCCUCUAUGUGUAAGACAAAGUUCCAAGCUUAAUCAUUCAAUUGCCUUUUAAGUGAGUUCUCAUACAUAUACACAUCUCACACUUGGUAUUUAAUCAAUAUGGAUCUAAGCUUUUCUUUUCCUUAACAAAUAUUUCUAAGUAGCUUACUUUGAGCAUCAAUUUCUCAUUCAUCACUUAAUCAUUUUGAACAUAUGAUAUACCGUUAUAAAGGUCUCAUAGAGUAAAAUAUGAAAUCAUAAUUUUAUAAUUAUUCAACUCUCCACCUUUACCUAUUAAAAAUAUGCCUCACAGUUUCCAUAAAUUACAAUUUUUCUAAACACAUAUGAAUUGGUACCUCAAUAUUGACCUCAAUAUUGAAAAAGAAAACUAGAAAAGCAAGGGGUGGGCUUUUAUUAAAGUUCAAUGUCAUGUUUUUUGAUAAAUGUUCUAUCCAUACAGCUACACCAACUAUCAAUUUUCACGUGCACUUUACCCUUACCUAUCUUCUUCUUCAUCUUUCUUCACUUUGUUCACGUGUAUAAUACAUUGUCCCAACUUUUUACCUUUUUGAAUUUGCUUAGUAAAGUGGAAAUUUGAAAGACUUUCUAUAAGUUUGUUUGGUAGGAGAGAUGAAAAAAUGGAAGGAAAAUAACAAUGCAUAUUUAAAAUACAUGUGUUUAAAAAUAAAUAUUAAUGAGGAACAGCUGUACCUGUUUGACUGGAGUAAAGAUAGAAUUCUAAUUCCUGUUUGAUUUCGUUUUUUGAAUUUAUGGGCCAACUAGUAGCCCAAUUUCAUUCUAUUUUCUUGGGACCAAUUAGUUGGGUUUAACCCAAUGGAUUUUAAUGUGUUACUGUUUUUAAAUUAUAUUCCAGUCGAAUUUUUCAAAAAAAAAACAUAUAAUAAAUAAUUAAAUGUAAGAUUUGAAAUUAAUAAUAAUAACAACACAUAUACAAUAUGUACGAAAUUUAAACACAUAAAUACAUAAGAUAAACAAUACUAAAUGCAUUAUAAUUAUUUAUCAUGAUUUUGUCAUCAUUUGUGAGUUAGCAUCGAGUUGAUUUGUGACACCGACUCAAUUAACAAUAUUAUCAAUAUAUACAACUAAUGGAGAUAAUAAAUUGUGCAUAUUAAAAUAAAAAUGCAUAAAAUAUAUCAAAAUGAAGCUUUGGUUGAAUGGUAAAUUUAAAAUUUUACUAAUUCAAUUGGUGCGAGUUUAAAUAUCACAUAUUCAUAUUUUCAUUGGUUUUUGUUAAAAUGAAAAGACUAAUAUAUCCUCAUAUUUUCAUAAUUUUACUAAUCAAGUUGGUGACUUGGUUGAGGGUGAAAACAACUUAGUAAAACACUUAAUAAAUAGUAUUGAUAUAUAACUAAUGGAGAUAAUAAAUUAUGCAUAUUAAAAGAAAAUUGCAUAAAAUACAUUGAAAUGAAGUUUUGAUUGGACGAUAAAUUUAAGGUUUUACUAAUCAUUUGGCGUGAGUUCAAAUUGGGCCAUAUGCCUAUUUUUAUUCAUUUGUGUUAAAUGAAAAGACUAAUAUGGUUUUUUUUAUUUGUUUUUGUUUAAAAAUAGAAAAAAAAGAAAAUAAAACAUUUGAAAAAUGCGUAACUUUGAACUAACAUACACAUGUUUCUCCUUUCUCUCCUCUCAUCUUUUUAAAUUUGCCUCUAAAUCCUUUUUGUGGGUGUGGUAUGUGUGAGUGGUGUGGUAUAUUUCCGCCAUAUAUGUGAGUACUAGUUUUCUAAUUCUAAAUUUAAAAAAAAUAUAAGUUUAGAGAAUAUAACAUAUAUUUAAAUGAUAUAAUUACUCUUUAUGUAUGGUAUCAUUUAAGUUUUUUAGUGAUGUUUUUGGUAAAUUCAAUGACUGAAUUGAUGCGAUACAAUAUAGGAAAAUGGAAUGAUAAUAUUUUUACAGUAUCUCAUUCAAAGGUGAUCAACUUAGGACCUUUGUGUAAGCAAACUAUCUCUUUGAAAAGUAGUGUAGUGACAUUAGAGGCUUCUAUAGUUUAAUUGCAAGGGUUGAAAUGGGCCAGUUUCUAGAAACGGUUAACCACAACCAAAAUUGAACCCAUACCUCGUUGUGUUUGUGGCAAUCCGAGCAUAAAGUCUGUAGUAAAUCUUGCCAAAUAUGCUCAGGAACUGGUAAAAGGGUGUAAAUGCUGGCAUUUUGAGUUUGCCCUUUAUCAGUUUGGCAUGUAUAGCAUUGUUUAGCCAAUCUACCAACAUCUCACUUCUAUUGAGACCAAUAAUACGUUUCUUCCACAACAACAAUUGUUUUAUCUCUUCCAAGGUCAUGUAAAUCCUAGAUAACUUUCUCACGCAAAGAAGUUCGAGGAAGGCAAAGCUUAUUUCCUUUCAUAAGGAAACCUUUGUAAAUGUGGAACUCACCGUUGGCAUGCUUAUGCUUAUAUUGUAACAUUCCUCGCCCGACUCGAUUGUCAGGUUCUAGUUAUGGAAUGCAACAUUCUUUGUCGUACCAACUACAUUUAAUUUACAAAAAAAAAUAUUCACAUACAUAAUAAUUCAAAACCAAGCAUAUUCAUUUAUGGUUAAACAAUCAAAAUCGAGCAUAUGAAAGCUCUUUUAUAGAUCGAGCACGAAAUAGGACCAAUAUGUAAUGAAAAUCAUGCGAUAGAAUAUGAUCAUAUUAGGAGAGCAGAUUUUGUCUCAAAGAGAUUAAUGGUAUCUUAUGAGGGUAACAUACAUUUAUGAAAAAGUUAUUGGACGAACACUUAAUAAAGUAGUCUUUAUAAUGGUAUAUAAUAAGGGAGAGUUCAAUCAUUGUAUUAUAGUGGAAUGAAUUUAUGAUUAAUUAAGUUGUAAUUAAUAGAGAAAAUACUGAAACUUAAUUACAUAUUAUUCAAACCCUAAUUAUAUAUGUCCAAUCGGUCCCUCUACUAGAUCGAGAUAACUCGAAACAAAUUGAAUGUAGAUCGCAUGUAUCACUAUUCGCAAUGAAUACAUUUUCUCGUUAAAUACAAAAGAUGACUUAAAAAUUAAUUUAAUUUCUUUGAAUUAUUAUUGUAAUUAAAUAAUUGAAAUUUGUAGUGAAAAUUAUAUUAGUUAGUCAUCAUAAGAUUUGUUGGAUGAGACAAUUAAAUUAAUUUCAUCAUGGAAUCCAAUACGGUAAAAUUACCAGGACUUUAAUGAAAUUAGAAUUGGAUUAAGAAAAUAAUUUAAUUAAAUUAAUCAAUUAAUUAAUAUUUAGGAAAUAAAAAAUAACUAUUCAAUUGGAUAAUUGAAACUUAACAAAAUGUAUUAUUUAUUUAUUUUAAAUAGAUUUUAUAUAAUACUUUAAUUUUCAACUGAUGAUGUAGUACAAUCUCAAAGUUACACAUCAUCACUUUUUUUACAUAAUCAAACCUCAUCAGGGGUGGAUCCAGGGGGGUUGGCAAGGGCCCGGCCCCAUAAAAUGAAAAUUUUUCUAUUUAGGCCUUUUAAAUUUAUAAAAUUUUAAAUUAAUAAUAGUAAAAUUGUACUUUGGCCCCUCAAAAUGAUAAAAAUUGAUUUUAUCCUCUAAAAAUUAUAAAGAUAUAAGCUAUUAAAAUAGUGAAGUUGCACUUUUACUAUCGUAAAAAUAUACAAUUUAAUUUUGACUCUCCUCCAAAAUAUUUUCUAGGUUCGCCCCUAAAAUGCUAAUAUAAGUUGGCCCCCUUAAGUCAUAUUUCUGGAUUCGCCAUUGAACUUCAUGUAUUAAAGUGGACUUAGUUACCAAGUUCAAGUAUCAAAUACAAUAUAUAUAUAUACAAACAGAGAAAGGAUUGUAUGAAACUGUGAUUUCAAAUCAUCCCUAUCUCUUUCCAAUAAGAGAAUGACAAAUUUGAUUUUUCCUCCUAAUUUUCAAUAUUUUUAGUUGGAUUUGAAUUUUUUCAAGAGGAAAAACCUGAAAAUCAGGAGGAAAAAUCUAAUUUGUCAUUCUCCUAUUGAAAAAUGGAUAGGGAUAACGUAAAAUUACAGUUUCAUAUAAUCUCUUCUCUAUACCAAAAUAUGACUAAUUACCAAGUUCAAGGGUCAAAAUUUACAUUAACCUAAAUUUAAAUUCAAUAUAGCUCUUAAUAAAGCUAGCUCAAUGACAUCAAAAUUAGUCACAUAUUAUAUAAUAAAUAUAGAUAUAGAUAUAGAUAUAGAUAGGCUACCAACCCCGACCUAGUGAUAAAAACAUUAUGUUGUAAAAUUUGAAAGAUUGGUUUAAUUCCAAACUACCCAUCCACUACCAAUUAUCUAUCAAUCUAUAUCUAUAUUUAUAUACAUAUACAUAUACAUAUACAUAUUUUAAAAAAAUAAAAGGGUAAUUAUUCUAUUCAUUGUUAGCGAAGUAAAAAAAUUUCACAACUGAGUUUAAGACGAUGUUAAGUGUUAUUUUUUAAUUCUUUAAUUAUUAUUUUAUUAUAACCCGAAAAUAAAUGUCAUCAAUCCAAAUCUAGUGGAAUUUUUUCUGACAAUAUUUAAAAUAAUUAUCCGUAUUUUAAAUAAUAAAAAUAGAAAAAGAUACUCUCUCUUUCCUUCUUCCCCCAAAUGUUUUAUUAUUGUUACUUAAGAAUAAUCAAGUUAAAAAAAAAAAAGUAAAUGUUUCAGCCGACUCCCAGCGGCAUGAGCAGUGACCAGUUUUAACGUUCUAAGUUCAGACAUCCGACAAUCAUGCCCAUAUAAGUUGUUGAAAAUGUUAUAAAUUUCCUCCCUCAACUAAUAUCUUUUUAGCUCCUUACCCACUUCCUCGUUAUUUCUCUGGUAUUAAACAACAACAUUUUUUUUUUUUUGCUUUAGUUUCUUUGAAUUAUAUUACAUAUAAUAUUUAAAAGCCCAUGUGGAAAUUUUAUGUUUUAUUCAUUUUUUUGUCAAGUCUGGUUUUGAUUAUUUACAACUUUUUCUAAGCUUUGGAAAAAUACAAAAACCUUCUUCUUUGCUUUCUUUAGUUUCUUGUUUAUCUAUUUAAUAUUUCUGGGUUAUUUACCAGGGAAAUUUCCUUUAAGGAUCAUAGUUCCUUUCUUGGUCUUUUGGUCGUCAACUAGGUCUCUUUUUGUGACAAAUAUUCUACUUCUAGAGAAACCGUAUUAUUUUUCAUUUUUUGGUUUUAGAUUUCUAUGCAUGAUGGUCAAUUCUGAUGCACUGAAAUACAUACAUACAUACAUAUAUGGUGUACCCUCAAGCUUUUUUGUUUGGUUAGGUUAGACAUAAAUUUCGAGAGUAGUUAGCUUAGAGUUUAUCUAAGCAAAAAGAAAAAGAUAUCUUUUUAUAUUUGUCCGUGGGACUGCGCCAACGGAUUAAAUUGAAUAAAAUUUAGCAGCUUGGUCUUAUUUUCAUGGGGUAGCCAUUAUAAAUAACCCAAAAUUUACCUUCCAUAUUCAUUUAUCCUUUCUUCUCUGCAGGUUAUCUUGUAUAUUUGCAGUAAUGGAAAAAAUUCCCUCUGGCGCUUGUAAAACUCUUCAUCUGGUUUGUGCUCAGUUUCUUUUAAUAUUUUUAAAGCAAUUUGUUGAAGAAUAUAAUUUAGUGUUUAUUUAUGUACGAACGUUCAGGUAAGGCAUGCACAAGGAAUGCACAAUCUAGAAUCAGAGAAAAGUCGAGAUCCAUUAACAUCCUUUGAGUUUUUUGAUGCUCAACUCUCCUCUCAGGGCUGGCAGCAGGUGAUAUUUUUCUCCAAGUAUUCGCAUUAUUAGAUAAAUUUACGCUGGAGUCAAACUAACAUAGCUUUUCGAGUUCUUUUUAACAGGUUCGGCAGAAGCGGAAAGAUGUGUGUGCCAAUGGACUGCUUAAAAGGAUUGAGUUAGUCAUCACUUCCCCUAUGUCAAGGUACCAAAAUUUUAGCAUAUAUCUAACAAAUGUUUUCUUUUUCUGAGGCAAGUGUUGUCAUGUUUUUUUAUAUGGUUGGAUUAUUACAGGACAUUGCAAACGGCGGUCGGAAUAUUUCAUGGUGAAGACCAACCAGAACUGUCAGAUGUCACUUCAUAUGAGGAAGGAAAUGGGAGGAUUAGUGAUAAUGAUCAGCAACCAACUUUCAAUCGCCCACCAAUUAUAGCACUUGAAGUUUGUCGUGAACGAUUGGUAUGGUUGCUAACAUCCGAAGAUACCGUAUUAUAAAUGCAAUUUAUAUAUAUAUACACAUAUGUGUCAUUAUAUUUCAUGGUAAAAGUAAUUAUAUUAAAAAUUAUUAAAUCAAAAAGUAAACUUUUUCUGUUAAAAGUUUUAUCUAUUUUUUUAAUAUUAAAAAUCAGUCUCUGUAUGUUAACAUAAGGUAAAUAUGACAUAUCACGUGUAUUUGUCUAAUUUAUUCUAUAAGUUAUACUAGUUUUUAAUAAUAAAAUUAGAUGAAAUUUUUGACAGAAAGAAUUAAUUUACUCUUUAAUCUAACAUAUAUAAACUAAUUUACUCAUUUUUUUUAAUAAAGAGAACAAAAUGUAGAAAUACAUUAUUUUAUUAAUUCCAUGUUUGGUAUUCCCUAUUCAAGUUUGGACUAUAUUGUUUUGUCCUCGAUGCAUAGUGUUCGGUACAAAACAAAGUUGUUUUUAUAUGGAUAGCUGAAACUUCGAAUACGGUGAAAUUAGAAUUUUUUAUAUAUGAAUCAUAAAUAACUUUUAUUGUAGGGAAAAUACGAAUGCGACAAGAGAGGAACUAUCAGCCAUUAUCGGUCUCAUUUCCCCGCGGUUGAUUUUUCAUUGGCAAGUGUUUAUUUCUUUCGGUCAUAAUUUUCACACGUUCUUGGUUAAUUUCAAUACAGUCCCCCAUUGAAUACUACUUUCAUUAGUUAACAUUCACCAACAUGCACUAAACCCUAAUGUUCAGAUCGAAAAUGAAGACGACAUUUUAUGGGAAGCAAAUAAAAGAGAGCCCUUCGGAGAUGUACUAGCUAGGGGAAUGAAGUUUAUCAAUUGGUUAGCUCUAAAGCUUUGACUAAUUUUGUUCACACCCACGGUGUACUUGGAAAAAAUCUUGUCCAUGAAUGCUUUUUUUAAAGGCCAAAUUUGUAUUCUCACUUUUAUAAAGUUAUACGGUAAAAGUAUCAUGAAUGCUCUUAUAAGAAUCAGAUUAUAUUUUGCUCAUUCUACUAAAAAAAUAGAUAAAUUAGUCUGACGUUAGAUCAAAAAGUAAAUUGGUCCUUUAGAAAGAAAUUCCCUAUUAAAAACUAGUCUUUAUACCUCAACAUGCAUGAUAUACAAAUGCAGCCAUGUAUUACUAUUUGGUUAUUAUAUCAGACACUCCGGUUUAUAAUAAUACAAAUGGUUAAAAUAAUUUAUCCAUUUUUAAUAAAAAUGACUAAAUUAUUCUUUAAUCUAAUGUAUAAAAAUCAAUUACUUAUUUUUUAAAUAGAGUGAAUAAAAUAUUAUCCGGCUUCUAAUAUUAAAACUUCUAUAAUACUUUUCCGGUUGUUGGUCCAAAACCAUGCACUUUGAUGACUGGGUUAAACUAUUGUUGGCUUAAUUAUUUUUUUUUUUUCUUUUUUUUUUUGUAGGUUGUGGACAAGGAAAGAGACAGAGAUAGCAGUGGUGAGCCAUGGUGUGUUUUUGCAGGAAGCUUUUGAACUUAUUAAUACUAAUAAGUAUCGGGCCUUAAAGGUUCGAGCCCCCCGGUCAGUAUACAAUUAAAUUAAAGUUCAUCAACUAUUUAAUAAUGCUAAUUUAAGGGUAUUUAUUUAUAUAUAUAUAUAAAUUCGGUCAUAUUUAUUUUUUGGGACAUAAUAUUUAGAAUUAUUCAUAACUUUUUUUACUGCAUUAACAAUAAUAUUUACACUAUUCAAAUUAAGAUUUAAUGGGUAAUUUAAUAACUAGAGCUAAAAAGCCAUAAUUUUGUUUUUAUAACAUUGGACGGCAACAACCUUUUAUAUUCACGAAGAGUUGUAAUUGCAUGAACCAUGUGUUUAUUAGUGAUAAUUAAUUUAUAGAUAAUUGCAUUUUCUGUCUUAUUAUUAAGCAAAUAUUAGAACGACACUUGAUUAGGCGUAAAUUUCAUAAAAAAAAAAUUGUUCCAAGUGAGACUUUGACCCUUAAUCACGACAAACACGUGACUCCCUAUUUCUAUGUUUAAAGUUUUAUCAUGUAUUUUAAAAGAUAAUUUUGGUUAACAUAUAUUUGACUAGCUUUCAAUUUUUAUAUAUAUGCAGCUUUGAAAACUGUGAAAUACGUUCAGUCCGCAUUUCUUAUGAAAGGUGAGAGUUUUUGGUAAAUAUUUCGUAUCUAUAUAUUAGUAGCUAGAUCGUAUUUUUAUUAAUUUAUUUUUAAAUUGCAAUUUUUUUAGUGUAAUGGGAUUGGGAUCAGAUUUGAUGCAAAUUGGUUAUUAUGAAAUGAGUAUCCCACAUGGAAAUGAAGUCCAAAGAGAUUCCAAGAAAAAAAAUGUUUCAGUGGAGGAAUUGGAAGUCAUCAAUUAAUGGAUCUUUAACUCAGUUACUUCUAAGAUAUUAAAUACUGAUGAUAGAAUAUUAGCUCCAUUGGUUUUUUAAACAUGUACCUGCUAACUACUUUAAUUGUUUUCUUAGAAUUUUUGUCUUUAAUUUGGUAGCAUAAUAACGAAAAACAUUGUGAGAAUAUUAUUAAGCUAAACGUUGUUUAUAGAACGGCAGGUCGGCUUAGUACUUUAUAUUUGGACGGCCACCGGUCGGUAUUUUUCGUCGUUUAUUGUGAUUUGAUUAUUGCCGACAAAUUGCCGUCGUCCGUCCCUGUUGUUAUCCUAUGCCGCCAAAGGCUCGCUUUUGUAAUUUAUGUUUGUUUAAGAUAUUGUUUACUUCAAAGUUUUCCUCCUUGAAAUAAAAAACCAGAGUAGGAAACACUUUGUGUUAUGCCAUUUGAAAAUUUGGAAGUUUGCUGGGUCAGGUUGACCAUCUCCAUAAACCAUAAUAUAUAUACAUUUUACUCAACUCAUAACCAUUUAAACGAUAUAGAUAGUUAUUGAUAUUAUAUAAUAAAAAAAAUAGUCAUUUUAUGAUUCAUAUUUGAAGUUUGUAGUUACUUCUUCCAAUAAUAUUAUUUUCAAUAUUCAAACGAAUAUCAUUUCCGUGAUUCAAAUUUUAUCACAUAUGUUAUCUUUAUUAUGAGUCAUUUUUUAAAAUUUUUACCAUAUACGAAAGUAUAUCAAAUUAUUUAGUGAAAAUUGUAGUGGUUUUAAUAGUUAAAAACAACAAAACUAUCAAGAGAAGGAUUUGUCGGGACAUUACGCAAUAAUUAAAGUAGUUAAGUGUCAAAGAAGAUUUCUCUUUUUUUUUUUCUCAUACACAAUUAACAUUAAUAAGUAUUCCUCCAAAUUUUAUCUUCAUAUUCAAAAGUAUCCACUAUAUCUGUAGUUUCGAAAGCAUCUACUACUAAGCUUUAUCUUCAAACCUUAUCAUUAAUCCGCAUAGUCUUUGUCAUUGUUUAUUCACUUAUCUCGUAAAAGAUAAGCAUUCCUAAACCUUUUUUCAAGUACUUGGACACUACUCCCUUUUUAUUGCAUAUACAUAACAAAUAAUAAUACAAAUUUUUUAAGUGUGGUUUGAUAAAUUAAAAAUUAAAUAUAUCAAUCGCGUGUGAAUAAAUAAAUUAUUGAAAAUGUUAAAUUUUUUUGAAGGGUUAUAAAAAAAAACAUUAGUCAACAAAUUUCAACUAAUAUUGCAUAACAUUACACCCUAAAAUAAACAUGUUUCAGUACUCUUUAAACUCGUUUUAUAAAAUUAAUAGAUCAAAUAAAUCUUCUACUUUGAAUCAUUUAAAAGUUUCUUGAAUUAUCGAUGACAAGUUUCAACCAUUUAAUUUUAAAUUUUGAACGAGGGAAUUAAAAAUUAAUUUUAUAAUUUGUCCAUAAUAAACUUGAUGGAGUGGCAACAAAGUCGUUCAUUCCUUAACUAGCGUAAUUUUAUGCUAUGCAAAUCUCAUCCCUCCUUGUUUAGACUUUUAUUUUCCUUUCUGAGUUUUUUAUUGAUAAUUUUAUGAUUAAGACAGAGGUAAUCAAUUGGUUUGGGGUUAAUUUUAGUCUACCUACUUGAUUUUUGUUAGAGAUUGAUUUUUCUUUGAAAGCUCUUUUAUUUUUCAAGAAAAGAAAAACAUAUUCACACCUUAAGCUGAUUAGAUUGCCCAAUGUCAAUUAAAGAUAUUUUACUCUUUUUUUUUUGUAACGUGUAUGGUAAAACGAACAUGUUUAUAAACACAUAAUUAAAUAAUUAAUUUAACAAAUUAACAUACAAAAAUAAAUCUAAAUUAAGCUCAUACAUAUUGAAAUUUGAAUCUAAAACUUUAAUGUGAAUGUUUCCGUAGACAAAAUAUUUUAUAAAGGAAAAAGAAAACGAAAAAAGAAUCAUAGCCAGCCAUUUAGAACAUUUUUCUUUGUAUUGGUAUUAUUAUAACAAUAAAUGGUUGACAAAUUUCGAGAGCUUUUCUAAAGUAAACUCCCAUGAUUUUGAUCCAUCUACAUUUGUCCACUCCUCACAAAUUGGAGCAUCAAAUUCCUCCCGGCACCGACUCCAUUAAUCGGGAUGGCAACGGGUUAACACCGGCACUAGAAAAAUUCUAAGGGAUCCACUAACUAGGUGGAGAUUAAAUGCGCGUGCCACUAAUGUUUAGUUGCGCCAAGAAUAAUCUUUUGUGUAGUGCAUAUAACAAUAGUGCUGUCAAUUUGGCCAAUGAGAUCAACAUUUUUCUUUGGUUAAAAUAUCUCAUAGGUACUUCCUCACAUAAGGAUUUAUGGCAUCUUUGGUAAAAUGACAAGUAUGAAAACUUGGUCAUUCGAAAUUACUAGUACAAAAAGGAAUGAAAGAGCCAUUUUGUGAUUGCUAUGGAUCAUUUUAGUCAAGUCUCCUUGCAUUAAUUGUUAAUGAGGUGGUGGUAGAUAUAAUGAUGGGCAACUAUUAGCGUAAGGAAUUGAAAUGUCAAAAUGUUUUAAAUAAUAAAAAUUAAGCAAUGCAAAUCAUUUCAAAAAGUUUUUAUGCAUUCAACUUAUUCAAUUACUUAAUUGAAUAAACAAUUCAAUAAUAAAAUUAAAUAAUUAAUUAAAAAUUAUAUAUUUUAUAUAAAAUGAGAAUCGAAUUUGAGACUUCAAAAAUUUGCUAUCCCAUUGAACCUGGGUUUUAUUAGCAAUAAUUCCAAAAGUUAAAAACAUCAUUUUCUUUCUUUUAAGCAUAAAAUAAUAAAUUUAUCUUUUGAUUGUCAAUUUGACUCUUAUCCUUUUUUUUUUAGCUAAGUUUGAUCAUUAACCUUUUAAAAAUAGUUAAAUCUGUCUUUUUUAACGAAAAUGUUAACUAAAACAUCAGUUUUUUAACUAUGUUCACUUGGCAACUUUUGUGUCAAUCUAUGUGUACUUUAUAUUGACAUGACACUAUUUGUUAAAAAAAUCCUAUAAAGUACACGUGGGUUGUGUCGAAACCAUUUUUAAAAAAAACGAGAAUCGACCUAUUUUUGAAAAUGAAAAUCAAAACAAGAGUCGCCACUGAUCUUUAUUAGGUGUAAUCGGAUCACCUUUGUUUUAAUAAAACGUUUUGGUUUACUAAAACGACAUUUUGGUCUACGAAAUUCAAGAGAACAAGUUCGGAAGCCGGUUACGUGCAAGGAAGGAUUAGCACCCUCGACACACCCAAAAAUUGGUACCGAAUUGAUUAGUUAGUGUCUUAAUGUCGAAAAUUAAAAAUCGGGAAUAAAUUUGAAAUACGAUCCUUUUUAUUAACCUCGAUUUUAAAAUUCUUGAAUUAGCUCAAAAUGAUUGUUGAAGAUUUCCUUAUCUCGAGAUAUCGGAGUAUCACAUCCCGUAAGUUAGGACACAAUACCAUGAAUUCCCGAGCGCAAGGUCGUCUUUAAUUUAAAUCGGAAUUCCAUACAUUUUAAAACUUAAAGGAUAUUUAACUAUUUAGAAUCAAUGAGAGAAUCGAAACCCCGUAAGUUAAGGCACAACUCCUCGAUGUUCCAAAACGCGAAACAUUACCUUAUUUUGAAAUUUUGCUUUUGAAUAAUAACGAAUCCGAUAUUUAAACGGCGUAGAUAUUUAUUUAGAUUAGAAAAACGAUUCAAGUUGGAUAAAUGCAACGAAGCUUGAUUCAUGGGGGGUGAUGAUAUGACAUAAAAAUAUAGUGCGUCAUGGAGUGAUGAUAGGUGAAUAAAAAUAUUAGACAAAUAAAUGACAAUAAUAUGAAAGUACAAAUAACAAAUCAUAAUACAUGCAAUGGCAAUAAUCACACAAGGUACAUCAUUUAGGUAUUAAUAUUAACAAUUAAAGACAAAUGAAUUUGAUAAUAAUUUAAAAGGUGUCAAACAAAUAAAAAUGAAUAAGAUGUACAACGAUUUUAAAAUGAUAAUGAGGUUAAAAUAAUGUGAAAAAGGAGAUUUUAAAUUAAUAAUAUGCAAAACAAUUUAAAAGAGAGGAUAUAUAUCUAUAUAUAAAGCAUUAAAAUAGGUAACAUAUAUAUAUAAUAAUACUAUAUAAAAAACCUAAAAUGAACAAUAGUAAAACAAUUUAAAACAAAUAAAUAAGUUGUAUAAGACAAAUUUAAAUAAGAAUAAGACAAGUUCAAAAUAACAUAUAUAAAGGAAUUUAAAAUAAAAUAUUAAGAGGCUCAAAAUAAUAAUAUGUAAAAAGAAUUUAAAAUAAUAAUAUAAAAGAAAUUUCAAAGUAAAUAACAUAUAAAAUAAUUUAAACCAAGUAAUACAUAUAAAACUUUAAAAUAGAUAAUAUACACGAAGAUUUAAAAUAAAUCAUAUGUGAAGAAAAAAAAAAGAAAAAAAAUUUAAAAUAGAUAAUAUGUAUAGGAUGAAAUGCAUAAAGAGUUUAAGAUAAACUACAUAUAAAAGCUUUAAAAAAUAGAUAAUUCAUAUACAAAAGAUUCAAAAAUAAUAUAUAAAAAGGAUUCAAAAUAAAAAGCAAUGUGAAAUAAUUAAUGUAUAUAAUAGUUCAAGGCGACAUGUAUUAAAAAAUAUUUUAAAAUGGAUAUCAUAUAAAAUAUAAAGUGAAUAAUAUAUAAGAUAAUUUAAGCGAAUCUAUAUAUAUGCAUAUAUAUAGAAGUUUUAAAAUAAAAAAUAUAUAAAAAUGUUUUAAAAUAAGUAAUAUAUAUAGUAAAAUCAAAACGAACAACAAUAAAAGGAAUUUAAAAAACGAUUAAUACCUAAAUUAGUAUAAUUGAGUAACACUUGAGAAAUUUUAAAAUAUAUUAUAUAUAAAAUAAUUUAAAAUAAAAAGUAUAUGUAAAGAUAUAAAAUAAAUAAUUAAAUAGUUCAAUGACAACAUUAGGAAACGAUGAAAAUAAACAAAAUUUAUUUAAAAGAAUAAAUAAAAAUGACAUUAAUAAUAGAAAUGAAAAAUCAGAAGUUUAAAACUAUGUAAAAGGAUACAAAUGAAUAAAAUGAUAAUAAUAAAAGAUGUAUAUAUGAAAAACAAAAGUAAUAUAUUAAUACAUAAAUAUAAAUGGGAGUAUAAUGAAUGGAAAUAUAAUAGAAGCAUAAAUAAAUAAAUAGAAUUAGAGAAACAACAAUAAUGUUAGAAAAAUAAAAUAAACAUGAAUAUAAAAUUUUAAAAGUAAAACGAGGAAUUAGCAAAUAAAUAAAUAAAUAAUAUUAUUAUUGAAUUCAAGUAUAUAAAAUGAUAAAUAAGUAAUGAAAUUAAACAAAUUAGGACUUAAUCGGAAUCAAAACAAAACAAUAAAAAAACGGAAUAAAAUAUAAAUAUCGGGCCUAAAUUAUAACAUGCGAAUGAGAUGGGGGACCAAAUGGGGGCAAUAUCCUCGUCCCCCAAAACACAUAAUUUCAAUAAGGACCGAAUCUGAACAUUUCAAAAAUUACAGGGUAAAAAUCAAAAGAAAAGAAAAGGAAAUAAGGCUGAACUGCGACAGACCACAAAAGAGGAGGGAUCGAAUAUGUAAAUAACCCAUAAGGCAUGAAAACACGCGGAUCCUGGUCUCCAGCGGGUUGGGUCGCGCGGGUCUGACACCCAAACGGCGCCGUUUAGGCGCUAGUAACCUUAAGGCAAAACGGCACCGUUUUGCUGUACUAUUUAAACCAAGUUUUAACAUUUUAUUUUAUUUUUGCUUCAUUUUCUAAGAAGAACAGCCCCCCUCCCCCCCGAUUUGUGCUCUGCUAGGGUUUCAAAAGAAACCGAUCGUGGCCGUCAUCGCACAAUACCACCGAGGGCAGUGGUUGAGGCCGUGCGAAGGGGUUUUCUGACCCCGGCUUAGGGCACCCGAAGGUGGUGCUUUACUUGGCCCGAGGACCCGAGAGAAGAGACCUCAUUUUCCCUUUCGGGAAUCGGUCUCGACGACGAAGCAGGGGCUCCGACGACCGGCUCCGGGUUCCCAGGUAAAUCCUCUUUUCUAUUUUUUUCUAUAUAUUUGUGUUAAAAAACUGAUUUGAGAACAGAAAUUAAAAUAAAGAAACUGAAAUUAAAAAAGAAAGAACAAGACUCAACCUUUUUGUUUUUUUUUGAUUGCUUUGUGUGUUCGUAAAAAAAUCAAUUUGGUUUCUGUUUAGGCUUUAUAGCCGAAAAUACAAAUGAUUUCGUCUAUGCUAUUCUAUGUUCUGCUUCUUUGCUUCAUUUUUUGCUCUAUUUUGCCUUUGCUCUAUUGUCCUGCUUUGCUUGCCCUUUUUGGCUCUCUUUUGCAGGUGCACAAAGGUCAACGGGGGCCAUAGAUGUCCAUUUCGGUGCAACGAGACAAAGGGAAGCCGAACCUCGGGCGUUGGUCUUGCUGACGGAGCACGUGGGCGACAGAAGGAGGAUGCGGCGCUAGGGCUAGCUCAGAAACCUUAGGAUUUCUGAGUUGGUUUAAUGUUUUGGGCCUAUUGGGCCGAUAGAAAUUGGGUUAACGGUUUUGGGUUGAGUUUGGGCCAUUUGUAAAAUGGGCUUGCUAGGUUUUAAUUUUUUGGGUUAGGUUUAGUAAGGUUCUGGAUUGUGAAUGGACUGGAAUAUUUGGACAUUUUUUGUUUUUAUUAUUUUUUCAUUGUUUGGGCUUGCAUUUGGUUAUUUUUGGUUUCGAAUGGGCCGGGCAAAAUAAGGCUGUUACAGGUUGUUAUGUUUAAAAAUUUAAUGUUUUAAUCAAAAUUUCUGUUAAAAUAAUAAUUCUACUCUUUUUUAGAAGUUAUGGUUAAA
Molecule: long non-coding RNA, 65201 nt
Filed under: Gossypium barbadense (sea-island cotton)
Lineage: Eukaryota; Viridiplantae; Streptophyta; Magnoliopsida; Malvales; Malvaceae
Description: long non-coding RNA (GBAR_LNC004894)
Rfam family: MIR7504 microRNA precursor family (bases 53989-54111)
Source: RNAcentral